CGGGUUGCACAUGGGCAUGAUCAAUACGGCGCCGUUUUGGGGCCACUGAAACAGGCCCCUAUAUAUGCCCAAUUUUGGAACCCUAAAACACCAUUCCUCUGCCAAUCCUCAAGUGCGCCGCAGCUCUUCUUUCACUGCCGUUCUCCCAUCUCAGACCAGACACCAGCAAAAAGAGGAUGCCCGACGACUCUCUCGACGGUAAGUCCUCUUUUUCUCCUCUUCUUCGUUUAUUUUUGUUGUUUUUUUAAAAAGAAGCAAAAGAAAAGAACAAGGUAAAUUAAAAAAACAGUAAAAGAACAGAGAAAGAAAACAAGAUCCCACCUUCAAAAAUGUUUCUUUCUGUCUAUUUUCUUUUUGAUUUAGGUAUAAAAAUUUUGCUAACCCCCAUUACAGAUUCCAUUUGACUUUAAAUAGCCAAAAUAACAAAAAGAAAAAACCCCCGAAAACCCCUUUUCCACCCUUUACUGUUCGUGGUUCGAUUUGUUGCAGGUACGCGUGUGUGGCGUGCACGGAGUGCUGAACGUGGGGCGGUUUGGGAGGCUGCCGAACGUGGGGCAUGCGGCGCUGACUGCUGCUAACCCCUUAGGGUUUCUACAUUUGAAAAUUGUUACGGCUAUGUAUUGGGCCAGUGUUGUAUUUGGGUUUGUAUUGGGCUUGUUAUUAUUUGGGUCUACUUUGGACUGGUGUAAUGAGUAUUUGGGUUGGUCUUAUUUUGAAUGGGCCGGGCAAAAAUGGGCUAUUACAACUCCAAUUUUUCGACUAAAUAAUAGAAACACAGUAAUUACUAGUACUUUUGGUCCUCGUGGAUACGAUAUUCCCUACUCGCCAUAACUAUACUAUUACUCAAUAGGUGUGCUUUCCUUAGUUGUAUUUAUAGUUAGUUUAGUGACAUUACCAUUCCUUUUGUCGACACCUGUCUAAAAUCAAACACUUUUUGAUUUUGAGAUUUUAAAACAAUGGUAUACUUUCAGUUUAGUCCCUAGAAUAUGUUUAAAAUCUAUAUACCUAUAUAUGGCACGUGGGCACACCAACCAACUUCCUUUCUUUUUCCCAUUUUAUAAAAUGGCUAAUUUUCAAUUUCAGUCCUUUCUAAAAUGCUUAAAUUUGAAAUUUAAUCUUUAUAUAUUAAUUUCUAACAGUCUUUAUAUUUUUAUAAUGUUAUUAAUUAGUUCAAGUAGUUCAUAUCGUUAAAUUUUCAAUUAAAAUGUUACAUGGUUUUAUAUAAAUUGAAAGCGGAUUUUUAAGUCCAAAAAGUAAAAGGAUUAAAUUCUUGAAAAUAAAAGCAAGAAUACUAAAUUCUAAAUAUGUGAAGUACAAAUAUUUAAAGUUAUGAUUGUUUGAGUUGAGAUCUAAUUGGGUAUUUGAUCCAGAAAUAUGCACUUUGAUACCAACAUGCAUGAUACCAGUGUGGUUUAAACUGCAUCACAUUCUGAAAAUAAAUCUUAGAUUGGCUUAAACUAUUUAAAAAUAGCUUUAUCUACGAGGUUUAAUUGGGCUAAAAUACCUUUAUUAAAAAAAGGACAAAUAUAAAAUUUAAUAUUUCUAGGACAUGAAGCACCAGUGGUCUAGUGGUAGAAUAGUACCCUGCCACGGUACAGACCCGGGUUCGAUUCCCGGCUGGUGCAUCAUAGGAGCUGUGAUGAGUAUUGCGGUGUCUUGAUGGUUAGGGUCAUCAUAAUCGUCUGAUUUCAGAUGUUAGCUGCGCUGCUGAGCUUCCUAAGCCUUUUUUAUAAUUCGUACCAAAAUCUAUAUAACUAUCUAUAUUGAAAAUGUCCAUGAUGAUGAACUAAAUUUUAGUUCAGUUAAUAUUGAACUCGUUAUUAGUAUAAAAGAAAUUAUGAAAAUCUAAAAAAAGCAAAAUAUUAUUACAAUAAAUGUAGUGGUUUACAGGGUAAUUUAUACAAAUGUUCAUUCAAUUAUACUCGAAUUUUCGUUUUGGUCACUCAAUUUUAAAAAUUUUCAAUUUAGCUAUCAACGCUUGUAUUUAUUCUUGUCUUGGUCACUCGUUGCAUUGAUAAGAAAAAUAAUGGCAUGCUCUUUUUCUAAACUGAUAUAAUAACAAAUUUAGUUCUCAAUAUUUACAUAUUCUAUCGAUUUAAUCUUAAUUCUUAAUAAUUCAAUCAAUUUAACCAUUCAUAUUUGUAAAUUCUAUCAACUUGAUCUUAACCAAUGUUUUGAGUUUUUAAAUUUGAGGUAUUGGAUUGAGCACGCUGAUUUUGGAAUCAUAUAGCUACUUGUCAGGAUUGUAGGCCAAAGUCUUUUGCUAGUCGCAACUUGCUGUCUAAUUCAAGUUUAUGUUCAACCUCAAAGCUCCUCUCAAGAAACUCAACUUGAGUCGCUAUAAGCCGACUUUUCUUUCCACUUGGUGGCUAGCACGAUCAUCAUCUCUUCCAUUAACAUACUUAUAUUCCAUGACUAGCUUCUCACUUGAUUGAUUAAAUCACAAGCAAAACAGCAUAAAAAUAAGAUGAUUUUACUAUAUAAAUACCAAUCAUCCAAUCUUUUUUACAAACUUCAUUAUCGAAUGUUCUCAAGCAAGGGAUAUACGUGUAUGUAGUAAAUUUAAUAUCCAAAUGCUAAGACAACACUAACUGCAAGAAGCGGUCAACGUUUCCAUUUUAGUACUUCAUCUCGGUAAUUCCCUUAAAUUCUUCUCUGAUUGUUUAUUUCAGGGUUUUUUUUUCUACUCUUGAUAUCUAAUUGUCAUCUAAUUUUCGGGUGUUCUUUGAAACCAGAAAACAGUAAGCUGAUUUUUUAUUUUCUUUCUUCAAACCUUUUUAAAGGGUUUAAUGAUCAAAUUUAUAAAAUUUGUAAAUGCGAAGUGAUAAAUUUAUUGAAUUAUGUAGGAUUAGGGUCAAAUUAAUAAGAAUACGUAAGUGUUGAAGAUUAAAUGUGUUAUUAUACCAUUUAAAAAAUAUCGCAUUAUUUUGUUGUCAAUUUAAUCAUGAGUGAUCAAAUGAUGUGUGUUAAAAGUAACAUGUUUUAAUCUUGUUCUUAAUGUGUUUUUGGGUGAUUAAUCGAGGUUUAAUUGUGAAUUUUAUGCUUCUAGUCCUUUAAAUUCACGUUUCUAUACUUAGGAGAACAUUUGAGAGCAAAAUGAGCGAAAAUCGAAAAAUCGGAGAAAAUUUUAGGGGUCACACAGGCUGGGCCAUUCCACACGGGCUGGAUACACAACCAUGUGUCAGACCGUGUCAAAACGCAAACUGCACUCUAAAAACACGAAAAAUCAAAAUAAAAACUUUUAUGCUUAAAUUAAAAAUUAUUAUUAUUAUUUUCAGAAAUUACCAGUGCAAACAUAUUAAAAUUUUAGAGAGAAAAAAUACAAACCUUUUAAAAGAAAUUUCUUCCGCACUUUGGACGGGUUAGUAUAUAUUAUCUUAUGUAUAUAAAAAAUAUAUAUUUUGAAAGUUUAUUGAAUUUUAUGAUGUGCAUAAUAGAAAAUUUUGAAAUGUAUAUACCAUAAAAUUUAUCAAUUUAAAUAAUUUGCAAUCAAUUGUCACAAAUGCAUUUAUUUUUAUUGGAAUCGACUUAUAUAAAUAACAAAAUCGAAAAGUAGAGAAUAUUGAAUACACAAAUAUUUAGAUGAAAAACUCCCUUAAAGAGGAUAAAAAGAUAUAAACAAAAGAGAUUUUGACUUUUUACUAAAUAAGUAAACAAACGAUAAUACAAUAUGGAGAAAAUAAACUUAAAAUAUCGCUGGAGUAUUCAGACUUUAACUGGAAAAGUUAAUAGAGUUUAAUUGGAAGAAAAACCCUGCUUUAUGUGGAGAAUACAUCACCACGUUGUAAUGUCCUCAUUCGCAUUGUCACGACGUGGUUCGUCGUCACAACUUAGAUAUGCUAAUUUCUUUUAUUGAAAUAUGUGGUUAAUAAAUGUUUCAUUUAUAUAGUAAAAAUAAAUAAGAAUUCAAUAAUUAAAAAAAGUGCACUUAAAUUCUACUCAUAUUUUAGUUUUUAAAAAUAAUUUUUUAUUUAUUUUCAUUUAACUAAUAUUUUUUAAUUUUCAAAAUUAAAUAUAAAAAAUAUUUUUAAAAAUAAGAUACAAAUAUUUUUAGUAAAAAUUUAAAUAUAAAUAUGGGCGGAUAGUUUUUCUAAUUUCAAAUUACAUAUAAAUUGGAAAAUCAGAAAGUGGCUCUAAAACAACAGAUCACUCAGUGUGUGGACUCCCCAUUUUCUCUUCAAAAAGAAAAACAAACACUGUCGAAAAUUUAGGGUUUUCGAUUUCAAUCUCAAUGGAUCAAGAACUAGACCCAUAUAUCUGCGGUUGCAUUAUUGAAUUCCUUGUCAGGUACUCACCCGACGAUAUGCAUGUAAAGAAAGUUAUUGAAGCUUUCCCGCCAUUGAAGCCCAGGCCUCAGUUGAAAAAAGCCGUGCUCCUCCGUACCAUGCGAACCGAAGUCUACGCCGGUGACGUUUCCGAGAAAAUACUCGACGCUUUGGAGAAGAUUGGGCGCAUUGACAGCAACCAAGGGCUCCCGAUUCCCGAUUCCAUGAAGGAAGCCUACUGCGCCGUCGCAUUGGAAUGCACCGUCAAGUACUUGCCCGGAGAUACUGACACGUGCGGCGGCAAGUACUUGGAUGCGGUGGAUAGGAUUUGGAGGGGCCGGAUUCAAGAUCUGGAAAGAUCCAAGGCGUCCGAUUUGGUUUUUGAUCAACUUAGAAACCGUCGAUUACAAGUGGAGGCUGCUGCCACCGGGGACGAGGAUGCGGUCCGCUGUUUAAGUGCAACCAAUACUCGAGGUUAUGCCAUAGUUUGCCUCAGGCGUUAUCUACGCGAAGCGAGUGGGUCAAUGAAGCCGCCGGUCCUUGAACAAGCAUGCUUGAAGCUUGGAAGGUACUUUACUUAAUAGUUUCACUAUGUAUGCAGUAUGGCUAAAUCUAGUUCUAGCUAUCAUUUUGGAAUCAUUUAUGAUUUUGUCUAUAAACCUAUGGUAAAUGCUGUGAUAUUGAACUGCACUUAGUCCUCUUUUAAGCUUUUAAGUCAACAUUAGAAAUAUUGUGUGCAUGAUAACCCAGAAUUAGGAAUCUUGAAGCAACUAGCUAGGAAAUGAUCAGAUAGGUUUAUAGAAAUUGCCAGAAGUGCCCAAAAUUUAAGGCUAUAAUGGUACCAGAGUUGCGAUGAAAACUAAAUACGAGGUCUUGAGUUUGAAACAUGUGGUAGUUGCCCCUUUUUAAGGGUGACAAAGCCUUAAUGGUUGCGCAUUCAAAGAGGACAAUAUCAAUUCGUAUGAGUAGGAGGUAAGAGGUUUUGGGUCCGAAACUUUAAGAACACUCACUUUUAAGUGUCAGUCUUGAGGAUGGGGCGGCCCAUAGCAUCCAAAGAGGAAAAUGUUGAUUUGUGCAACCAUAGAAGAAAAGAUGGGUGGCAAUUGACCUGGCAACCCAUUAUGCCAAACAAGAGCUAGGAUUUAAAAGUUUUUAGAAAGAGAACUUGAGUUUACAUUUGUCUUAUUGAUUAUAAUAUAUUCUUUUACCUUAUUAUUUUAUAAAACUUAUCGCGUGAUAAUUUUUUUGCAUGUGGCAAAAGAUAUAUUAAAAUAAUUUAUUUGAUACAUCUUAAAAACUAUUUAUAAUUCAAUUAUAAAUAAUUUUCAAAUAAGAUGUUUAUGUUUUAUAUCCCUACAAUUCUAUGUAUGUUGAUUCCCCCAAACCAAUGUAGGUAAUAUAUGACAUGAUGAUUAUCAAAGGCUGACCCUUUAAGGAGCAACCUAAAGGGGUUGUUCAAAGUAUUUUUUGGAUUUGUCCCUCUGUGUGUAUAAAGAGAGAGAGAGAGAGAGAGAGAGAGAGAGAGAGAGAGAGAGAGAGAGAGAGAGAGAGAGACUUUAUUAGUAAAAUUGUAAUGAUCCAAUUUUCUGUCGGUGUUGGAAAAGUUGGUUUAAGGAUUGAAUUUAUUAUAUCGGGUUGUCUAAAAAUUUUAAUCAAAUAGUUAUGAAGUACGGAAAUUAGAAAAUAGAAAUAUUAGUAAUUAAUUUAGAAAUAAAAUAGUACAGUGGCUAAAUUGUUGGGGUUGUGAAAUUGAUGGCAUAAAUGUAGAGAGACUCAAGAGAGAAAUUGACAUGGCCUUAUGUAGUAAUUAAAUCAAGAAUUAUUUUGUGUUAGUGGAGUAAAGUGAUCUAAACCAUUCAUUGCCAUUAAUUUUCCCAUGCAUUAAUGAGGGUCAUUAGAUUAAAAAAAUGUUUGAGAUAGAUGUAAAGAUUGAACGUGAAUUAUGAUGUUAUGAUGUUGAGAUUGAAUUGUUAGCUAUAAAUGAUAAUUCGGAUAUGUUUGAUUAUGUCUUGUUGAAUUUCGAUUCAUUUGGUAAUUUCAUCGGGUGUAUAUAUACAAAUAGCACUGUGAUAUGAUUUUGCAAUGGUAUUGUGAUGAGGAGCAUGCGAAAUGUUAUGUUCUGGUAUAAUAAUAAUAGAAAGUGAUAUUGAGAAAUUGAUAUUUGUAUAAUUUGAUAAAACAAGUUGAAACUGUGAUUAUUACGUGUAAUGAUAUUAUGAGAUUAUUAAAUCGCGCUAUUAAAUGAUGCUAAACAUGAUUAGGGUAUAGUUGGCAUUCCAUAAGAUUCGUAUAUGUUGUUGGUGGGAGCAUUUGGGCACUUUAAUGCGAUUCAUUCUGACACUUCGGUGUGAUCCAUUCUGGCAUCUUGGUGGGAUUCAUUCUAUGGAGUGUUAGGGGGAUCGGUGCAUUUAUGCUUGAGCAACACUUCGGUGCUUAUUGAGUGUUAGAGGAUUAAUCCAUGUACUUGUACUUAUGUUUACAUCUUGUUAAUAGGGGCUAAAAGUAAAUAAUGACAUGUAAUUCUGAUUUUGAUAAUGCAAUGUUAUUUUGAUUCUGGUAAUCGAAUGUCAUCUUAAAUUUAAAUAUGAUAUGUGAAAUUGGUCAUGCAGAUAAUGAAUAUGAAAUGAUUCUGAUAACGAGAUUGGCAUUAGGAAUAUGAUAUCAUGAUGUUGAUAAAAUGCUAGAUGGUAGAAAUGAUUUAAUGAUUUGCAAUAAAGUAUUAGUAGCAUAUUUAUAAGUUUAAUGUUUUUAUGAUUGAAUUUAAAUUAUGUUAGUAUCAAUGAGUAUACAAUACCCAGUGUACGAAUUUGUUUGUUUCCGUGUGCAGGCUUAAUUUAGGUUCUUGAAGUGAUCAUGAGCCUAACAGCAUUCAAGACACCAACUGUCAAUCUUUUGUAAUGUGCUUACCUUGAUAGGUCAUAUACAACAUGUAUCUAGGUCAUUAAGAAGUAUUGUGGAGUUUUAGUGACGUUUUGAACAUGGCUUAGAUGUUUUGGAUGAUUUUAGUAUUACAUAUCGUAUGGUCUUGAUAGGUUACAUACAACAUGUAUCUAGGUCAUUAAGAAGUAUUGUGGAGUCUUAAUGACGUUUUGAACAUGUCUUGGAUGUUUUGGAUGAUUUUAGUAGUACAUAUCGUAUGGUUAAUGACUAAUUUUGCACAAGUUGAUAGUUGAUUCAAAUAGAUUAAGUAUGAUGCAAUGAAUGUCAUGAUUUAAGGUUUUUGAAUGUAGUUUUACUUGUCAAAUAGGUGUGCAUUGGUUUGGUGAAGUUUUGGUGUGAAUUAAGUAGCGUUAAGACAUUAUUUUGCAUGCUUAUAUUGCACUUUUGACAUUUUAUCAUUUGGUCUCCAGACACUAAGAACAAAUUGAUCAUUUCAAGUAUUUUUGAGCAAUGGUCUUGAACAUGUCUCGAGACAAAUUAGAGGUGUUCAUGGGUCGGGUUAGUUUCGGGUUGAGAUUAAACCUGAUAGUAAUAUAGCAUAUGCUUGCUCAAGUCCGGUUCAACUUAGAAUAUAAGUAAAUUUUGGCCAAAUACACUUAUAUUUGUAGAUGGCUAGCUCAAGUUUAUUUUAAAUCCAUCCAUAUUGUUUUUUAAGAUUUAAAAAAUAUUUAUAUUUAUAUUUAUUUUAAUAUUUAAUAAUUUUACAUGUGGUCAUCUUAAAUUUUUUAAUGUUUACAUUAUAGUAGUAUUAUAUAUUAUUAUAGAUUUAAUUUUUAUGUGUUAUAAAUUAUAUAAUAUGUAAAAAUAAAAUAUUAUAAACUUAAAAAAUGAGUUGGGCUUGGGCCUUUAUUGUUCAAGCUCAAGCUUGACUUAUAUUUUAAAUGGGUUUAAUUUUUUUGUCCAAGUUAAUUUUUUGGGCUUAUCUAAAUUUUAAGUAGGCCUUUGGGCUUGAGUGGGUAGUUUAACCCAUGAACAAGUUUAAAAUGUGCAUUGACGUGUCUUGAAACAAUCAAUACUUUGUCUCGAGACUACUAAAUAUUGAACCUAAAAUGAUUGUCUCGUUUUAGGUCUUGAGACAAGAAUCCCUUUGUCUCGAGACAUCCAAACAUUGAAGUUAAGGAUUUGUAACAUGGGAGCUAUGUCUUGAGACAUGAAUUUGACAAUGUCGAAUUUGACACAUUGAAUUCGAAUUCGAAUGAUAGCUGCGUAUUUGUUUCUGUUUAACCUUGAAACACUUUAAAUGAGAUCACUUUAACAUUGUCUAAUCAUGUUUAUGUUAUAGUUCUAAGCGUAUGGGAAUCAUUAUUAUUGUUUGAUCAUGUUUAUGUUAUAGUUCUAAAUGUAUGGGAAUUAUUAUGAUUGAAUGCUAAAUUAUUUGAUAAAAUGAAUUGAGAUAGCCUAAGUUACUCCGGCAAUAUAAUGUGAUGCCAUGCAUUUAAAUCCAAUGUGGGGUAUCAUAAAAAUGGUUCCUAAAUCAUUCUUUGAUUCCUAAAUUGACUAUUAAAGGUUUUUUUUUUUGCCAGUAAUCAUUCAUAAAAUUUACUUUUAUUAUAUAUUUUGGCUCAAAAUGUAAUAGUUCGAACAAACGAAAUAGUGACAUAUGGUGUAAUUUUAACGUAUAACUACUGAAGUAACUCCUAUAUAAUUGAAAUGAUAAUAAAAUAUGAUUUUGAAGAAAAUAAUUUGUAAAAAAAAUAUUAAUUAGUAAAAUUGAAAACCAAGUAAAAAAUACUUUUACUGACAAAAAAAGGGAUCAUUUCCUACUCUCCUCUGCAGUUUCAUUUCCAAACCCUAUACUGCCAUUGAAAUACAUUUCAAACUCCGAAAGGCAACUGAAAACCUUGGCAAGAUAUAUAUAUAUAUAUGUGUGAAAAAGCCCAAAAAGCACCUUUCCAGGUAGAACAAGAACAAUAAGCACCUCCAUCCCACCACCAGCAGCUUUGAAGAAACGAACAAUUCCACCAAAAAGUAACUUCAAUUUCAUGACAUCUUCAACUCAUCUAUUUUCACCAAUUUCAUCACCUAUUACGCGUUUCUUUAUUUCAUUUAACAACAAUUGGAUUUUAUCUAUCAACUCAUCUACAAUAUUCUCGUUCUUCUCUUUAUUCCUUUAUUAUUCAUCCUUUCAACCCAUUGAAACAAAAAUCACACCCAUUCUACAAAUACAAAUGAAUACAUAUACCUCUUUGUACUAAUUGCAUACAGAUAGAUCUAUUUUAUUACUUAGUUUAUUAUUUUAUUUUAAAAUUAUAUUAUAAAGGAAUUGACCCACAAAUUAACCAUUGUGUCUGUUUUAAUUCUAUCACGUUCUCAUCUUUUUCUAAUUUAUCUUAAUUUAAUUUCAAAUUUAUUUUCAUAAAAUAUUAAAAAUAUAAAAUGAUAUUUUAAUUGACAAUUAUUUAAUAUAAUUAAAAUAAAAUUUUAAUUUCAAUUAAAAUAUUGCAUCAUUAUGCAUAAUUUGAAUGUUCUGAGAAUUUUUGAGAGGUUUCUAUUUUUAUUAGGUUUGUGUUGCUUUUUUAUUCUGCAUUGUAAAACGAUUGUUAAAUUUUAGUUUUGAUCCCUAAAUUAUGUUAAAAUUUGCAUUUUAAUCUAUAUAUUUUAAGUUUUGACAUAUUUUGGUCCCUCUACAUUUAUAAUGUCAUUAGUUGAUCUAAAUUGUUAAUAUUGUUAACCAUUUCAAUCAAAAUGCUGAUGUUAAUUUUUUCUUAAUAAUACUAUUCUAAUAGAAGAAAUUAUUUUAUCAUGAUAAGUUCAAAUGAGUGUUUUUAAGAAAAAAAAUCUUAAUCAAUAUUUUUAACAUUACUUUUAUUGUUACAUGACUAUCAAGUGAAUAUGUAUAUUUUUUUAAUUUCAAAAAGUCACGUCAAAUAAUUUAAUAGAAGAAUUUUAGUAGUAGUAACAACUAGACUUGAAUUUUUAAAUUCGAAAAGUAUAGAGACUAGAUUUUUAAAACUAAAAGUAAUGGGAACUAAAUUCCAAAUUGCAAAUAAGUGCUUGAAAUAAAGAAUGUUACGUAUCCAAAGAUUGUAAUAUGAAUAUGAAUGUUUAUUUCUUUAUGUGGCUAGAUCCUUUUAAUACAUAUAUGAUACGGUUAGUUGAGGCAAGAUGAGUUGAUUGUUGCUUAGUGGCACUCGGCAGCACUGCAGAUUGCCACUGAGGUAGUUUGAUCACUUGCCUUAUUUGAUUUGACAAUUUAAUGAAAAAAAUAUUUGAACAUGUUAAUGAGUUGUUAUUUCGAAUAUACUAUGGUCAUUGGAAUGUGGGAAUUUGAUGGAGAUAGAAUUACUGAUUUUGGAGAGCAUAUCUUCGACUGAUUUUGCUUUGAUUGAAAAAGUUUGGGGUGUGCAUUGAGUCGGUUUGAUUUUUUUAUACCAAAAACCGAAUAAAUCGAAUUAUCCGUGUAAACCUAAUAAACCAGACUGACCUAUGGAGCAAAAAUGAAUAAAUCGAUUUGCUUAAUAUAUCGUUUGGUAUAUGAGUUUGAUACUAUUUUCUAAUGUGGUACAUAUGUUAGUUUUUAGUUCAAUUUGGUAAUUGUAUUUGAUAAAAGUUAUAUAUUUUGAUAUCCAAAGGUCACAGUGUUAACUUUUUAGUGUUUAAUUCGAGUUCUAUAGUUGAUUUGAUGAAGUUAAUUGUUAAUAUUAUUGUUAAUAUUAGUAGUUGUAACUUUCUACUGGUUUUCUUUGUUAUUAGUUUGUCCCUACAUUUUGAAGGUAACUUUCUAUUUUGAUUGAUUCAAAAGUUGCAGAUUUUAUCUGGCAUUUACAUAGUUGCUAAGGACAUUUUCAUGUUUUCCAUUCAUUUUGCCUUUGGUUUUUUGUUAAGCUUAUUUUUAUUUGGAUUUUUUAGUUGGAACCAUUAUGUGUUAAAUGUGUAUCCUCUUGAAAUAAUGGAAUGGCUUGUGUUUUAGCUAAAGGAGUGGUUGAAGGUAGCAACAAGAAGGGGAAAAAUAUCACUCAAGGGUGUGCUAAGGUAGCAACAAGACAAUAUAUACAUGUUAAAUUACAUUUACAAUUCGGAUUUGAUCUUGUUACUUUAAACAACAACAUUUUGGUUAUAUUUAUUUUUCAAUAUGUUUUUAUUUUUGAUAUGUUUCAUUUAAAACUAUUUUAAUCUUUUAAUAUAUUUUUAAACUAUUUUUAUUUUCGAUAUUUUUAAUUUAUGUUAUAUUUGAUUUUGGUCUUCAAACAAUGUUUUAUAUUACUUAUAUUGUUUGAUUAAAAAUUAUAAUUAACACUAAAAAGAUUAUCUCAACAAACGAAAAAAAGAAAGAAAGUGAAAUGCUACAAACAAAUCAUGUUAUGGUAAGAAUGUGAGGAUGAAUACAAACUUGCAAAGAUAGUUAAGACACUAUAUACGAAUUGCAAAGAAUAUGGAGUUUUAGAUUUUAUGGAGUUUUAGAUUUUAUUUAAAUAAAAAUAAUAAUCGAAUAUUUUAAAAUACAUAAUUUUUACAACAUUUAACACACUAUAUACCUAUAAUCGAAUUGAGUUAAUACAAAAUAAAAGAAAUUAAAACCUUAUUUUCUUUUCUCUAAAAAUUAUUAAAUUCAUAUUAUUUUUUUCCUUUUACUAAUUUUAAAUAUUCAAACAAAAUAAUAUAUAUUUUUCUAUUCACAAUUAUUAAUUCAAAUAAAACAUUAGUUAAUUACAAUGUGAGGAUGAAUACAAAGUGGCAAAGAUAGUUGCUUGUAUGGUCGCCUGCAAAGAUAGAAACCAAAAGGAAAUGAGUUCCAAAAGAAGAUGCUGCGUUGGUUACCUGUAUGGUCGACUUGCACAAUCUUGGAACCUUCAAUGCCGAUACGAGAUUCAAAGCCGGUUAUUUAAAUGAGUUGGAAAAAAUGUUAGAAAAAGUUUUACCCAACGCCAUGUUGAAGGCUAAACCUAAUCUUGAAUCGAGGAUUAGGACAUUGAAAAGCGAUUGGUCAAUCGUUUAUGACAUGCUUAGUGGAAAAAACAAUAGCGGUUUUGGUUGGGAUGAACAUAGGCAACUUGUUGUUGCUGAAGAUGCAGUGUGGAACUCAUAUAUAAAUGUAAGAAUUAUUUUAAGUCUUUAUUAUCUUAUUUUGACCAAACUUAUGUCUAAUAUGAAUUACUCAUUUUUAUAGAGUCAUAAAGAAGUCGGUCAAUUCAAACAUCGUAGUUUCCCUUAUUAUGACCAACUUACUGCCAUCUACGCAAAAGAUCGAGUCACUGGGAAAGAUGCUCAAAUAGCCGCUGAUAUUAUUGAAGAAAUAGAUGUUGAGGAUGUAGCUACUACAAAUAUUCAUGAAGAAAGAAACGAUUUAUAUGGAUGCGAAGCUGAUGUUUCUUUGGAUGACAUGGAUGUUUCAGCUACGCAACCGCAACCAGCUAGAAACCAAGGCGAUUCCGCAUUUUCAAAGAAGAAAAAAAAGAUUUAUGUUGCAAGUGAUCAUAUUUCUUCUACUUCAUUUCAUGAUGCUGUCACUUUAUUGGCGGAAAACAUAUGGACCGUUGGCGUUGAAAUCAGUAGGAGUAUUGCCUCCGAAGUACUAAUUCAACAAAAGUCAGAAAUGACUAUUCAAGAAAGAACUUUAAAAUUAUAUCCAACAUUAUGUGAAGUAGAAGGUUUAACUGAGGAUGAGUGCUAUUGCGCAUUGAGCAAAAUUCCAGAUCAUCCAACGGAAAUGCUCAUUUUCUUUAGUUUACCUUCUUCUGUGCGAUUGGAAUGAGUCAGAAGAUUUCUUGCUAACCAUUAAAAAUCAUGGUUGUGUUGAUGAUAUUUUGGUAACUUUUUGUAUUUGUAAUAUUUGUAUGGUAUAAUGACAUUAUAGGAUGUUAUUACAAUGUUGUAACUUUUUGAUUUUGCAAAAUUUUAAAACAUAUUGAUUAUGACAUAUAAGCUAAUGAAAUCAUGUAACUUUUUGUUAAUAUAUGAAUAUUAUGUUUGGAUGUGAAAUAUAAUUCUCAAGUUAUUUAUUACUUCUAAUAUUUUGUUUUUUAUUGUAGAAUAAUUAAAUUAUUUGUUUUACUAAUGAUAUUUUAGCACAUUAAAUAUGCAUUGCAGUUUAAAAAUAAUAAAGUAGAUUAUAAUUAUUUUUAUUGUAUUAUAUAUUAUGAUUUUUUAAUUCAUAUAAUAAUAAUUAUAUUAAGAAUUUUAUUAAAUUAUAUAUUAUUUUAUUAAAUUAUAUUUAAUAAUAAUUAUGUUAAAAUAUGGUUAAAUUAUUUUUUUAUUAAAUUAUUUUUAAUAAUAAUCUUAUUAAAAUUUAAUAAUAAUAACAAUAAUCAUUUACAUAAAAAAAUUCUGCUAAGGGUAUUCUAGUCAUUUUAGUUUUUUUCCUUAUGCUAUUACAACAUCUCCGUUCAACCAAACACAAGAAUACUAUUACAGUUCUAUUCCAUUCCAUUCAACCAAACAAUUGAAUUACUGAUUACAGCUUUAUUCCAUUACAACUCUAUUAAAUUACAACUCUAUUCCAUUACAGUGAAUCAAACGUACCCUGAGAAAAUUGGGGGGGGGGUGACAAAAGUAAGAAAGAAGAAAAUGAAAAAUGUAGAAGUAGACGUAGUUGCAAAAAAAGAAAUAAAAAAGGGGAAGAGGAGGAAAAAUAAAAAAAUAAAACAAAAAAACAAAAACGAAAAAAAGGAAGUAUAAUAGGACACCACGUUGCAACACGCAAUUGGCCAGUACUGCCACAUUAGCAAAAAAAAUAACGGCGUUAGUAUCAAGUGCUAACAUAGUGGACGGAAAAAAAGUUCGGGUACCAAUCUGGGACAAAAAAAUCAUAAGUACUAAUCUGGAAGAAGUGGACAAGCUUAGGUACCAAUUUUAUAUUUAACCCCUUAAUUAAAUUAUAUAAUCAAUUUAAAUUAUUUAUUAGAUAAAAUGAUAAUUAUUUAAAUUAAAAUCUAUGCAUAUAAUAAAAAUUUUAAUUUAUUUUAUAUUUAUACAAUUAAUAAAUAAUUAAAAUUUAUUAAAAUUAUAUAUUAAAUAAUUAUUUUACUAGUGAAUUUUAAUAUUAUUCAUGUAAUAUUUAUUUUUAUUAUUUAAUACUAAUUUUAUGAUAAAAAUGUGUUUAAUUAUUAAAUAGAAUUUUUUUAAAAGUUAUAAGAAAAUAAAUUGAUAUAUUUACUAUGUAAAAAAUAAUUUAUUAUAUAUUCAUUUCUUAAUUAAUACAUAACCUCAGUUUUUCUGAAAAAUUAAACUAAAAGUUUUAUGAAAAACAAAAAUAAAAUAAAGGAUUUAAAAAGUAAAUAACCAUUUGACUGAACUGCUUUUUUUCUUACUGGAGCUGUAACCUCCAGUAUAAAAUUUGGUGGUCAGUGCAUUUAUAACAACUCACUGGUGAUGCUCCAAACACCUCCAAAAUGACGUGCGUUUCAAUCACAUUUUUUUCUCCUAACAUUCCCAACGCACUGGAGAUAAAAGGAGCCCUUAGUGUUGUAAUAAAUGAAUAGGUGGUUCGACAAUCAGAUCAAUAAUAAUUAAAUAAAUAAUUAAAAAUUCAUAAAAAUAAAAAAAAUUAUUAAACUCAUUCAACCUGUUCAAUUGUUGAUUUUUGUCUUAGUUUUUGAUUUUUACCAAUUUCAAGUAGUGUAUGAUUUCAACCGGCUCAACCCCUUUGUUUAUAUCAUUAUAUCAAUAAGUUCUCAAUCUAUCUGAUCUGGUCUCAUUCUAAUAACAUUGGUUAAAUCAUCAAAUCUUGACAGAAUCCAAGUUUAAUAACUAAAAUGGGUCGAGUUACCAAGUUCAAGGACUAAAGUGGACAAAAAAAGUACAGGAACCAACGUGGACAUAGUUGCCAAGUUAAUGGGCCAAAAAUUAUAUUAUCUCUAAAUUUUACUAUUAGACUUAUAUCAUGCAUAAGUUUUGGAUUUAGACAUUUAGUUCUUGAUUUUCAAUUUGAUCAUGCUUUAUUUGUCCUUGUAAUUUUUCUAUGAGUGUUAUGUAAAAAUAGCAAGCUAGUAUAGCAUUGUGUCACGGGUCACAAAUUAAAGCCCGUGAUGAAUGCACACAAAAUGUCCUAUGGAGGUCAAUUGAUUAAAUGUGGCUCAUUUGACUCACUUAAACUAGUCCAAUACGUAAAAUAUGUGGAGAAACACAUCUAGUUAACCUGGUGAAUAUUUUACCAGGGUGAAUAUUUUUUAAUCUUAGAGGAUCUUGGAAAAUACUUUAAGAAUCUCAAUUUGUAGAUUGCCUUUAAUCUCAGUCGUCAAUGUAAUUUAAAUUGUACCGUUGGAUAUGGGAGAGCUUAACUAUAAAUAGAAGUUUUCCUUCUCAUUUGUAAUUAUCCCAUUAUUGAGUAACCAAAUACUUUUGAGAGCAUUUACUCAAAUACCUUGUGUGCAUUACUUUUUUGUGGCUUAUUCGGUUCUUUUGUUGCUUCUUUACCUUUAAGUUUGCUUUUGAUAAGCUUGUUGCCUUAGAGAAUUUUCAUUGUGAAUUCUCACUUUUGAGAGUUAGGUUGACUUAGGUGGAUUUGAAUUUAAGUUUUUGUCAAGGUCGUGCGGUUCGCUAGACUAAAGUUUUAGCCCUGUGACAGUUGGUAUUAGAGUCAAUGUUUAGUAAGUCAGCAGUUAAGAUGACAAAGGAGUAGGCGAUUAGAUUGAGCCUAGGGAGACCCAUGAGGGGGAAGGGGGCAUGAAAGCUAGCAAAUCGAGGGAUAUGCUGUUGACUUUGGAAGGUCAAGUGAUCGAUCUCGAGAAAUUUGUGGGUGAUACGAAGGAAAACACUCGAGGCAGUUAAAGGACACAUCGAAGAGUUGGACUCAAUGAAAGAGUAGCUCAAGUAAUUUAUGAUAGAGGCUCUCGAUUCUAAUGUGGAAGUAAUGCAGUGGGUGCUCAAUUCUACUAUGGAUAAGCUGACAGUGAAGGAUGAUGUUCUAGAGGUUAUGGUGUUGACUUUAAAGGAACAUAUUGAGGAGCUCAAGGAGGAGCUCGUUAUUUGCAAAGCUGAUUUGGGUAAAAGGAUGCUAGAUUCAGUUCCUAAACAACAUAAAAUGGAUGUUUCCAAACUGAAAGGGUUUAAAGAGAAGAGGUUUGCGAGGAAUGUGAACAAUUUCUUAUGGGGAAUGAAACACUACUUUUGUGUGAUAGACAUUGAAAAUGAUGCCAUUAAGGUAAACAUUGCUCCAAUUUAUUUUACCAAUAUCACUAUUUUAUGAUGGCCUCAUAGGUCCACAGAUGAGAGGUAAGAGGUGAUAUCACUAUUGGGAUUUGGUGGAGUUACAGAAUGAAUUUAGGAAGCAAUUUUACCCUGAGUUUGCUGAGGAAGAAGCUUGGGCUAAGUUGUGUCGACUUAUGCAGCAAAGCACAGUUCGAGAGUUCACUAAGUUGUUACUCAAAAUCCUUGAUUUGAGUGAGAAAAGAGGCAUUUUACUGGUUCAAGGAUGGGUUAAAUCCUUAGGCAAAGCAAGAGUUGUGUCAACUAGGGUCAAAUAACUUACCAAAGCCAUGGCUGAGGCGGAGUCCUUUGUUGAGCUUGAUCUGAAGAAAGACAAGUUUGAGUUUUCCAAGCCUAAAGAGACAAGCAAUGGUGGGGGUGGCCAUUAGGAAGAAUAAGAUAAAAAUGACAAUGAUGGCAAUGGCAAGAGUAAUGGUCAUGAGAAACCACGCAAUGGGAAGUUGAAGCCCAACGAUAAAUCAGAGAAGCCAAUGAAGUGCUUCGUAUAUUGUGGUCCGCAUAGGGUACGAGACUGUCCACAGAAGAUUCAAGUUCAUUGCAAUCAACAAAGAAGAGGAAGCGGAGCUUAAGGAGGAUAAAUUAUUAAAGCUUGGUUUAAUAAUACUCAAUUUUGCUAAAGUGAAGAAGGAUCACAAGCAAAAUGGGUUUAUGUUUGUAGACAUUAACAUCGCAAGCCGAAUGAGGAGUGCUCUUAUUGAUACAAGGACAUCUAAUUUGUUUAUGUUGAAAAAAGUCGCAGAUAAACUUGGUCUAUUAGUUAACAAAUCGACUAAAAAGAUCAAGAUUGUUAAUUUCAAAGAGGUCCCAACUAUGGAAGUAACAUAAGGAGUUGGGCUACAAAUUGGGGAUUGGAAAGGCAAGGAAAACAUUGAGGUAAUUCACUUAGAUGAUUACAAGUUUGUUCUUUCCUUCACAAGAUUAAUGCAUUGUGCUGGUGAGUCAUGAUGAGAAAGGUGGAACCAAUGUAUUUUCGGUAAUCCAACUAGUUGAGGAUGUUUAUUGUGGUAAGAAUAUUGACUUGGUGGAUUAGAGUGCUACGAAGAACCUCUUGAAAAAUCUAGAGGUGCAACAAACCGAUAUGAACUCUGUUGAGUUAUUAGUGGGGUUACCAUUUAUGAGAGAGGUGGGUUGUGCAUCAAACUUUGUGGGAAAGUGGUGAUGCAAACUGGAUAUUUAAAACGAGUAAAUGUUGUGAGCAAGGUACAUCUCAAACACUUUUUAGUGUUUUUCAUUAUGAUUGGCCGUUGACGUGACAAAAACAUAGAAACCUUUUCAAAGUUUUGAAAGGGGUAAGUUGAGGGGCUUACAAAUCAGGCUUAGCAGCAAUACUCAAAGUUAACCCAAUGUUUAAUGUGGGUGUGUUAAAGUCUUUUUGUAUGGAUCAAGGAGAUCUCGAUCUAGGCAAGUCAUAAUGGGGGCAAGUAAGAGCAAUGACCUCUUUCGAUUGAGAUGUACAAAAGAGAGAGACAAGUUGAGUUAGACGAAGAUAGAGACAUAAGUCGAGACAAAUAUUUUGAGGAUUAAAAUUACCCAACAUAGAUGAUUUUAUAAUCUUUUGUAUGGAAAGUAGUUUAUAUUUUAUCAAGGUGAAUGUUUUGUAAUCUUAGAUGAUUUUGUAAUAUUAGAAGAUCUUAGAAAAUCCCUUAAGAAUCUCAAUUUGUAGAUCUUAGUUAUUAAUGUAAUUUAAACAGUAUUGUUAGAUCUAAAGAGCUCAACUUUAAAUAGAUACAUUCCCCUCAUUUGUAAUCAUAUCAUUAUUGAGUAAUCAAAUACUUUUAAGGACAUUUACUUAGACACCUUGUAUGCAUGUUUUCUUGUGGCUUAUUCGAUUCUUUCAUUGCUUUUUAUCUGAGUUUGCUUCCGCUAAGUUUGGUGCCUUACAGAAUUUUUAUUGUGAAUUAUUACUUUUGAUAGUUAAGUUGACUUAGACAAAUUUAAAACUAAAUUUUUGCCUAAGACCAUGCGGUUCAUUAGACUAAAAUUCUAACCUCAUGACGAUUGCACGUAAUAAUAUAUUUAUCGCAUAUGACUUUGAAAAUAAAAGAAUUCAAAUUAACAAAUUUAAGGAUUAUUUGUUGGUUAAUAUUUCAAAAUUCAAAAAAUAAAAAUAAAAAUAACAACUAAAAUAUAAGGACAAAAUCCACAAUUAGCCAUAAUACAAGGACUAAAAACAAAUUUUGACAUUAAAAUUAGCUAUGUAACACUUAUUCCAAAUUCAAGAACUAUGCUGGAAAAACUCGACUGUGUACAAAUAUGGACGCAAGAGAUAAUUAUAAAUGCUACAGAGAAAUUUAUCUACAUGUUCUUUGUUUUAACUAUACAUGCUUAUCUGCAACAAGUCGAACUUUAUUCAGAGAUUCUUUAAAGGCUUGCCAUGCAACAGUAUAAUGAUCUUGGGAUAUCAUCCCUUCUUCGACAACUUGCAUUGCCCGUCUGUGCAAAUGGUCGAACCACUGAACUGGGUUGCUAAUGUCGAUGUUAUUGGAUCCAAGUUCGGGUACGUAUAGUCGCUUAAAAUCUUUCCGCCAGCGAGACAAGAUAUACUGGAAAGGGAUUUCCUCCACGCCGUUGUAGUGGAGGACACACAAGCAGUGUCGGCAAAGGUACCCGUUGAAGUUAAAGCAGCUGCAUAUGCAACGGAUUUCUGUUCCGGCUUUGUCAUGCAUGACUUCGAAGUUCUUCAUAUUGCUCCGGUCUCCUUCGACCUCGUGUUCCUUAAUCAUGUAGGUUAUAACCGAUCCGUUGGCAUGAACUUGGGUGAUGCUAAAACAAGGCAUCAUCACAACUUCAUCUUGGAACCUCCUGAAAAUUUCAUUCGUAUACAACUUCGCAAGCUGUAAUUCGUAAAAGCAUCUUGUUUUCAACAAUGGACUUGAAUCUCUCGAUUCGAAAUCAUUGAUUGCUUCUGUUUUACGCUCUUCUUGCACAAGUAAUUCGUACUUGCCAAAAAAUUCUUUCAAAGAAGUUUGCUUAUGCACAAAACCGUCAAAAAACGAGCUCCUGAACUCACCAUUUUCAAAAGUGCACAUUCCAGCAAAAAAGGUAUCUUUUUGGUAAACCGGAGCCCAUCGCUCUCUUUCCUCGUACAGAGUACAAAGCCAUGCAUGAUCUGCAAGUCCGAACCGUCGAAUCAUAUCAUCCCAGCCCAUUUCAAAUUCGUCCACCUUCACGGUCUCAUAGACUGUCCUAUUUAAUAUCAUUUGAAAGACAUCAGAUUCCUGCAACUCUCCCAAAUUCUCGAAUAAGCUUUGCAUGACAUGCGACAAAUGCAGUCGAUGAUGAGCCCUGGGAAACACCUCAGAUAUUGCACUUUGCAUGGCCCUGCAGUGGUCUGUGAUUAUGGUUUGCGGAGAGCGACCAGACAUACAAGUAAGCCAUGCCCUAAAUAGCCAAACAUAUGAUUCGAAUGUAUCAUCAGCAAGCAAACCACAGCCCAGCAAGAUAGACUGCCCAUGAUGAUUUACUCCAACAAAUGCCACGAGAGGAAUCUCGUAUUUGUUUGACAAGCACGUGGUAUCAACUGCAACCACAUCACCAAAGUAACCAUAUGCAGCCCUAGACCUAGAAUCUAUCCAAAAAACAUUCCUUAAACAACCUUCAUCAUUCAGAUCUAUCAGGUAAACGAAAUUCGGACUAGUAAGCUGAAUGCGGCUAAAAAAAUCAUAUAUAAUUUGGGAAUCUCCUUUGUUAAGCUUCAAGCGCUUAGAACGAUCAAUGGUCUCACUAAUUUCUCCUUCAAGUAUGUUCAAGUUUCCAUAACCCACUGGAUCGGCCGUAGAUGUACGGUACAACUUGAUAGUCCGCACUUCUACAUCCACAGUAGGCUCUACCUUCCUUUUGGCCACAGCGUCCAUCUUCUUGUGUGACUUACAAUUUUGUGCUCUUUCAUGGUCAAAUAGGUGAUUGUGUUCCAGUUUGACUUCAUCGACCCUCCAUCUAUUUGAUUCUACUAACCUCAACCUUAUCAUCGCGAGACAGCCAGUUCUUGUUUCCUUCCUACGACUAUUUGCUUCUUUGAUUGUUUUGAAGCCCUCGCAGUUACAACAGAGCACGGCUCCGCGCUUCUCUUUGCUGUUACGCUUCGUCCACGAAGAUUUGACCCUAAUUGCAAAUCCUAGUUCCUUGGCAUAACAGUUAUAGUAAUUAUAAGCAUCAUCGUAAGAUUCAAACUCCAUUCCCACAACCGGCGGAGGAUAAUUUUUUCCUUGGGAUAUGCCAUUUUCAAUGGAAACUGCAGUUGCAUCAUCCCCGUUGCUUUCAUGAUUGUCAUCAAUAUCAAGCAUUCCGUCACAAUCAUCCUGAAGGCCAUUGCUUUCAAUGUCGAGGCAGUUUCCUUCUAUGUCAAGGCCAUUGCUGUCGAUAUCAAUGUCAUUCCCUUCCAUUUCAAGCUCAUUUCCAUCAUCCUCAAAUAGUUGCUCACUAUUUUGAGAACCCUCUUCCAUCUGAAAUGGAAACCCCAUCAAAUGGAUAACCGACACUUAAAGAAAAUACAAACAGAAUAACUGAAGAAGUAACGCAUAAAUGAUGCUAAUAAGUGAUCUUUGAGAUUCCAACUCUUCCCCGCGCAUUUUGUUUUAAGGAAUGGUUACAAUAAAAAUUUAAGAAAACAUGACAUUAUUGGGAGAGACAGCCACGAACCCCAAAAAUAUUAGUCUUUAUUACCAUAAAAAGGACAUGAAACUACCUUACUUAUACCAAAUAUAUAUAAAAGAUUUAGUACAUUUAACUAUGCUCUUCAUCCACAUUCAUUUCUUAGCAUGGUUUCACAAUUAAAAGUUGUAAUCAUUUACUCAUAUAUUCUAACACAGAAAUUUAGAAAAUUUCAUCAAAUAAUUUGAAUUUUAUUGCUUUAAAUAUCAAGAAGUAAAAACUGGAACUGUAAUGGCAAAGAAAUAGAAAACAAGGUUCUCUACUCUUAGCAUAUCUAAAGAACGACGUAAUUUCUUCAUUGAAAAUCAAGGUUCAGCUUAAUUAAGUAAUAAAAUAAGAAUUUUAUUAAGAACAUCCAAGAAAUUAAAGAUCAAAACCCUAGAAAUGGGGGGAAAUGGGAACUGGGAAAGGCAAAGAAGUAAAUCGAGUGAAGGAAAUGGGGGAAACGAACCGUGAUGAGAAGGUUGGGCGGCGGGGACGGAGACAAAGCGUGAUGUUGAUCGCCGGUGGAAAACGCCGGAUUGCCGGUCAUGGUUGGAGUGAGGGUGAGGGAGCCUUGCGUCAAAGUAUGAGAGGUUAGUUUUACCCUAAGGCUCUCAAUCACUAUAUUCCCACUUUGGUCCUUUGUUUUCCUUGUAUUUGCUUUUGCUUAGUUGCAAUUGAAAAAGAAUGGUGCUACUUUUAGAAAUAUUUAAAAGUUUAGGGACUCAGCCAUUUGAUUUUCCAUUUUGAAGGGAGUCUUCUUUCCUUUCUGGUGGAGCUAAGGGUUCCGUGGUUCUGUUAUCGAUAUGUUAGAUUCUGAGUUGAAUGAUAACUCCACGCGCCGGUUUCAACGUGACACACGCUCCAAAAUCUAAUCUAACUAACAAUCGAUUCAGUUAUAAAAUUACCAAUAGUGAUUCUUUUUAUAAAGGAACAAUUAUUAAAAAAAUACAUAUACUAAAAAUUUUAAUAUUUGAAUCCAAAAUAUCAUAUCUUUACUAACUCAACUUAACCAUGUAAAUCUAGACCUGUUCAUGGGUCAGACUAUUCGUCUAGGUCCGCCCGAAAUUUGAAAAGUUUUUGGUAAAAAUAUUAGACUCGUUUAAAAUAUGAGUUGGGAUUAAACUUUAACAUUCAAAGGUCGACCCGACUCAUUUUAAGUUUAUAACACUUUAUAUUAUAUUAUUUUUAUAUAUUAUGUAAUUUAAAACACAUUAAAAAAUAAGCAUAUAUUAAAUAUAUAAUAUUACUCUAAUGUAAAUAUUAAAAAAUAUUAAGAUGACUAUAUAAAAAAUUUCAAUAAAUAAAAAAUAUUAAAUUAUUAAAUAUUAAAAUAAAAUAAAUAUUUUAUUUAAAAAAAUAAAAAUAAUAUGGGUAGGUCUAAAAUAGGCUUGUAUUAGUCUUUUAUAGAUAUGGACGAAUUUGUACAAAAUUUUUGGCUCAAAUUUUGGGUCAAGCCGGACUUAAAUAAGUAUAAAGUAUAUUAAUAUCAUGCUUAGAUCCGACCCGGCACAUGACUACAUCUAUUUAAAUCAAAUUAUAUUUAUUUUUCAUAUAAUUUUAGCUUAACUAGUUUUAAUAUAAAAAUAAUUUAGGAGGCGUUACACUAAAAAAAACUUAUAGCGCGUGGGUAUGUGGCGAACUAGUAAUACUGUUUUUUUCCCUCUGUUUUUCUGGUCCAUAAUUUAUGAACAAAACACUAAAAUCUAUUUUUAUUUUCUCAAACUUUUAAGGAGAAAAAUAGACAAAAAUGGUGGAGGGAGUUUAGUUCGUUAAAAGCAGUGGCAAAGAAGGCGAAGGUAAAUAGCAAAAAAAAAAAAAUGGCGACGAAUCUUCUGCUCACUCCUCAGCCGCUUGCUUUUUCAAAAUUCUCUGUUGCAACCAAAAAAGUAGCGAUUAAUAGCCAAAGAGCGACGAGAUUCGUCGCCAAAGCCAGUGGUGGAGAAGAGAAGAACGACGAGAAAGGCUUCACUCCGUUUGGUUUCGUCACCGAUAAUCCUUCCAGCCGCAGCGCCAUUCAAUUGCCGGAAUCCCCCGCUGAGGAUGGCAAUGUCGGCCAAAUGCUUUAUGUGAGUAAUUUUAUUAUAGCCGUCGUCGCCUAUGCACUUAAAGUUGUGGAUUUUAUAUUCGAUGAAAAAUUAAUGGGAUCAAAAUUGCAGAGGAUAGAAGACAAGGGAAAGGAGUAUGGCUCAUACAUAAAGUCUGGAAAGCUUAGAUGGUUUGUUAGAGAAACUGGUAAUGCUUCACACUUUCCCUAUAUUUAAAAUCUUGAUUGUAAUGGUUGAGCUUUUAGCUCGAUUGGUACCAUUACUAUUGCAAGUUGUAAGAAUAGGAGUACGCGAGUUUGAGUUAAGCAUGAAUUAUAUUCCGACUUAAGGGUUUUAGGGAGAGUAAGAGUAGUAAUAGGAAUUGUAUAAAAAUCUUCCAUUGCAUAUCACGUGUUCAUGCUCAGGAUUACUUGUCCAAACUCAAGUGUAAAAACUCCAUAGUUUGUGCAUGGGAUGAUUUUCCUAAUACUAAUGUCAUAUUUAAACUUAACUCUAAUUGCUUGGUUGCAUUUAGUUUAUGCAUUUGCUAAUUAUUUUUACUCAUUUGAAAAGAAAAUGAAAAAUGAAAUCACGCAAAGGUAUUGUUAUUGUUUUGAAAGUAAUGUUGGGUGGUUUGUAGGGUCACCUGAAAGCCGACGUGGUACAGUUGUCUUCCUACAUGGGGCUCCAACACAAUCUUAUAGCUAUCGAGUUGUAAUGUCUCAGGUUGUGUUUAACACAUAUUCGAAUAUUAAUUUCGACAUAUAAUCUGAAUUUUCUUUUUUAAAAUUUGAGAUUUCCCUUUUGUGUGUUAUGCAUUAGAUGUCAGAUGCUGGUUUCCAUUGCUUUGCACCUGAUUGGAUAGGAUUUGGUUUCAGUGACAAACCACAGCCUGGAUAUGGGUUUGAUUACACAGGUUUUCGUAGUUACAUGAUAAAACCGUCGUCUAAUUCACUAACAGUGCGUCAGAUGUAAAUCCAUCAAUGCUAUAUAUGUUAAUAUUUGCAGAGAAGGAGUUCCAUGAGGCACUUGACAAGUUACUGGAUGUCUUGGAGGUCAAGUCUCCUUUCUUUCUUGUGGUUCAGGUUUGAUAAUCCGCUAUGACAUGAAUACUUUAAGAUUUAAAAUGAAGAGUCAUAGCAACAUAAUCUACAUACCUAAUUUACUUUCUUUUUUUUUUGGAUAUGGUUGAAGGGGUUUGUUGUAGGUUCAUAUGGAUUGACAUGGGCAUUGAAAAAUCCCAGCAAGAUAUCCAAAUUAGCAAUUUUGAAUACUCCAUUAACAGUUUCAUCUCCUGUUCCUGGACUUUUCCAACAGCUAAGGUUUGGGUUUAUCUUUCUAUGAAUAUGCUAUUUGGAUCCGACAAUUACAAGCUAAUUGAGUUGGAGUAACAUAGAUUAUGAAAUUGUCCUUUUGUUUCUCUCACAGAAUACCACUUUUUGGAGAAUUUACUUCUCAAAAUGCUGUGAUAGCUGAACGCUUUAUUGAAGCAGGUAGCCCGUAUGUAUCCAAUUCCAAUAUAUAUCCCUGCUAUUUUCACAAUAUUUCUCUUCUUAUGUUAUAGCAGAUACCUAUCCGUAUUUGUUAUUCUCACCUAAAUCCGAGUUUCUAAAGAUGAAAUGGUAAAUGUCUUUUGACAGAUAUGUGCUGAAGCUGGAAAAGGCUGAUGUCUAUCGAUUACCAUAUUUGGCCAGCAGCGGACCCGGCUUCGGUUUGUAUUUCAUCCUUACAUUUACGGGCUUUUUUCGGUUAAAUGCUUAACAUGAUGUCAUAGCUCGUAUUAUGUUUUGAACCUGAGACUAAAUCCAGUUGGUUUAUGCAUUCACCUAACAAGUCCGGAUUUCAAAUCCUAGUGUUUACAACUCCUUUAAUUCGGGUUUUAUUCAAAGACAAUCCCAAUAAUGCAAAAAUAGUUUGGUGUUUCAGCAUUACUUGAAGCAGCAAGAAAAAUUAAUUUCAGAGACAUCUCAAGUCAAAUAGCUGAUGGAUUUGCAUCUGGAAGGUACAUUUUCUUCUUUAGCAUUUUUAUUCUCAUAUCCAAUACUUACAUCCGAGCCCGAGCAGUAUUGCUCUAUAGCUGUAUAGCAACUUUCUCCCGUAUGGGAAUCUAGAUAUAACCCUUUUAAAAACCCUUUUCUCAUCUUCAGAUGGGAUAAACCAGUUCUGGUUGCUUGGGGUUUAGCGGACAAGUACCUCCCUCAAACAAUAGCCGAAGAAUUUCGGAAACAAAACCUGAGCUCAGUUGAGCUCAAGCUGAUAGAAGGUGCCGGUCAUAUGCCACAGGAGGACUGGUAAAACUAGAUUCCAUUUACAUUAUCCGUUUUCAUUUCUGCAUUUUUAUUUUAUUUUAUUUUUUGGUCUCAUUAUAUUGAAAAUCAACAGGCCUGAGAAAGUUGUCGAUGCUUUGAGAAUGUUCUUCUAAGUUGCAUACCCUUGUUUAUAUGCUAUUGACUUCCCUUUUCUUGCAAGGUAAGUUACCUACAAUUCCUUCAAUGUUAGUUCACCUUCUUUAUCUUCUUUUUAAAGUAUUUGUGUCCGAUAUUUAUGUCCAAUAGAUAUCUGGAUAGUGGUGAGUAUUUAUUGAUUUGAACUAAUUUAACCAACCAAACCGAAUAAAUUUAAUUUAUUUGGUUCAAUUUUGGAAAUUGAUUUAUUUAAUUAAUUCGAUGAAUUACCCAAAUUUUUAAAUUGAUAAGUAAAUAGAUUGAAUCAGCUGAUUUUUUUUUUAUUAAUUUUAAAUUAUAUGUGACUGUUAUAUCAUUUAUGUUUAUAAUAUUACACAUUAUAUAAUAUAUAACUAAUGGAAUCAAUUGACUUAAAUUGGGGUUUUUUUUAAGGCUUAAAUUAUAAUUUUAUUAUUAUAUUAACUUAAAAUAUAAAUUUGUAAUUUUAGCAGAGAGGCCUUAUUUGCCCCCUUUAGAUCAGGGUGGCAGCAGGGGAACUGGCAAGGGUUUGACUCCUAAAAUUGAAAUUUUAGUUAAAAUUGGUAAAUUUUUAAUUUAAUCAUAAAAAUAUAAACUAUUAAAAUGGUGAAAUUGCGUUUAACUCAUAAAAUUAUAUAAACUAAUUUCCUUGCAAAACUCAAAAACAUAUAAAGCUUAUACAAAAAUUUGCUUGCAAAUCUUUUGGAUCUAAAACUACUUAUUUCAUAUUUCCUGCAGGUAUUUUACAGAAAACAGAGCAAUGUAAUUUUCUGAUUAACUAAAACUAUUGUAUAGAUUUGUAGUUUAGAUGAUGUAUUUUUAUAUAUCCAAUGCACAGCACAGGACAAACAUUUUUAAGCUCAGGGACUUGCAUAAAACCUUUCAAAUCGGACGAAAUUGAUUAUGUAAUUGAAAUAUAAAAUAAAAAAUAUUUUUAUCAAUAAAAAUUAAAUUGAUUAUGGUAUCAAUAAAUGAAAGUGAAUUUUUUCAAGGUUCUAAUUUUGGAGGUAAUGAAUCUAUGGGUAUAGACCAUAAAACCGAUCCAAAGAAUAAUUUUUAGUCAGAUGAGGAAAGAGAAAAGAAAAUUAAAUAAUUUAUUUAGUUAUAUUGUAAUGGAUGUCAUCCCAUAUAUAUGGUAUAUAGAAAGAGAUAGAGAGAUUAUGUAGCAGUGACGGCUAUUUUCAUUCCAUUAUUACAGUGAGCGGGAAAACCACAAACAAAAUAGUUAUGUCCUUGUUGAAGAGUGAUAAGGUCAUCUCCCGUCUCAAAUACUUGAGCAUCGUCUGCCACAUAGCAUGAUUCAUAACCUUCCUUAUCUACCACUGCAACAUCGUGGUUUGGUCGAUUGUACUUAAAUUCUGCAAAUAUAUUUUCACAUAAAAAAAUCUUGAUUGACACGAGUUUCAAAAUUUAAACUGGACAACUCGAUCUCUCGUAUGUACGUAUUUAAACUUACCAAGGACAUCACCAGCCUUGAAGGAUUUGCCAUUAGGCCAAUUACUAACACCAAAACCCCAACCAGAAGCAUCACCCACCAUGAAAGUGGCUGCAAAGCUGCUCUGAAAACAUAACAGUAGAGUCAACCAAAUCAUUGCACUGCCUCUUUCUUGGCCCAUUUCUUCUAUGCUCUUUUUACACUAGGAAUUUUAGAGGUAUAAUUUGUGAUCUAAAUGGGUUUGCCCUUUUUAUAGCCAUUAUUUUUAAGGAAAAAAAUAUAAGAAUUUGGUAAACCCCAAAGCCAAAUCUUUUCCAUUUAAUUUGAAAUCAACGAAUAAGGAUUUUAUAUGACCUAAUUGAUUCUCUUCUUCACCAUACAAUCAACAUCCAAAAGAAAAAACUAAAUUCAGUAUUUUCAUUUUUUUUUCCAACAUUACGUACUCAAAUCAAAUGUAAUUUUCCUCGGCAUUGUAAUGAUAAAAAAUAAUAUAUGUCAAAUUAAAUUAUCUACUUUUUAGAACAAAACAAACAAAAUAUUUCAAUUAUUAUUUUAAUUCUUAUUCAAAUGUAAAAAAAUAUUUAAAAUAAUUAACAAAAAUAAAUUCUAAUAUUAAAAAAAGUUUAAAUUCAAUAUUGACAUAUAUCUAGACCUGAUCAUAAGCCAGGCCAUCUGGCUCGACCCGAAGGCCUGCCCAAAAGUAGAGGGUUUGGACAAAAAUAUAAGCCCGAAAAAUGAGUUUAAGUAACCUUGGGUAAUCUUUUUUGGCCCGAACACAGCUCGACCCGAAUUUGCAAAAAAAAAAAAAUUGUUGCUUUUUGCUGUUGUUUUAUCACUGUUUUGGUGUCAUUUCACUAUUACAUUGAUACUAUUUUGUUGUUAUUGUUUGGAGAUUCUAUAACUCUUGUUUUAUUGUUAAUUUUGCUACUAUUUUAUAGGUAUUUGUUUGCUAAGUUGCACAUAUUUUAGUGUUAUUUAAGUAUAAAGACUAAAGUAUUCUAAACAAAUAAAUAUUUAACAAUAAAAUGUAUCAUGCCUUUAUUUGUCACUUUACACGUAUCAACUUUCAACUAUUAACUAAGUUUUACCAAACAUUUUUAAAUAAACAGUUAAUAGAAUCAAUUGGUUAAACCAGCCACUGCAAUCACCUUAAUUUUGAAUAUAGUUUAAUUUGAUCACAAAAAGAAAAAAAAGAAAGGGAAAUAACAUCCUCCAUUUAGAUUUUGCAAUGCAUCCCAUAAACAUAGAGAGAGAUUAGGUAGGCAUGAACAGCUAUUUUCAUUCCAUUAUUGCAAUGGUCGAGAAAACCACAGAUGAAAUAGUUAUAUCCCUGUACAACAUUAAUAAUAUCAUCGACUACUCCAUUUGAUUUUUUUUAUCAAUCUUAUUAUAGGUUCUGAUAAAUAUUUACAAAUCAGAUAUUUUUUCCGAUUUAAAAGUUACAUAAAAAAAAUAUCAGCAACAACACUACACCAAAACUCAUAAUCAAAUUUUUGCUUUUCUGCUCAACCAACACAUGGUUCAAGUCGGUUUUAAUUUAUAAUUAGGUUAAUUAAGUUAAUUUUGUCUGUUCAUUGAAAAUAUAAAUAUUAAAUAUAUUAACUGAAGUCUUCAUUGUUGAUGAAAUAAGAAAGAAAAGAAAAGAGAAAAGAAAUUUAUUUAUAUAUUUAUUGUAAAAUAACGAAUCGAGAUGACUACGUAGCAGUAAUAGCUAUUUUCAUGCCACCUUCACAGUGACCUGGGAAACCACAUACAAAAUAGUUAUCACCCUUUUUAAGCGGAAUAAGGUCAUCUCCCGUCUCGAAAACUGGAGCUUCUUGUGGAAUUUUACACGACUCAUACGCUUCUUUAUCUACUACUGCAACGUCGUGAUUCGCUCGAUUAUACGUAAAUUCAAGGACAUCACCCGCCUUGAAGGUUUUUCCCUUGGGCCAAUUGCUCACAUCGUAACCCCAACCAGAAGCAUCACCCACCAUGAAAGUGGCUGCAAAGCUGCUCUGAAAACAUAACAUUAGAGUCAACCAAAUCAUUGCACUGCCUCUUUCUCGGCCCAUUUCUUCUAUAUCUUUUCUUUACACUAGGAAUUUUAGAGGUACAAUCUGGGAUCCAAAUGGGUUCGCCCUUUUUAUAGCCAUUAUUUUUUAGAAAAAAAUCAAUGAAUUUGGUAACGUAUAAGGAUUUUAAUUUACCUCAUAAAUCUCCUUUAAUGCAAUACAAUCACCGUUUAUUUAUUUGGAUACUCAUAUUAAAUGUUAUUAAAUACAAAAUGGUCACUAAAAAUAGUUAAAAAGAGAUAAAUACAAAUUAUAUAUAUUUUUUAAAAAUAAACUAUUUAUUUUUCUACUUUUUUUUUAUUUUGAUGGGAAUGUUUUUUGUCGCAAAAGUGUUGAUUAAAAUCUUGAGAAAGUUCAAAUAAUACGUACUCAGAUUCACAUAUAACCUUGAAAGUUUCGAGCUGACCCUUUCGCAUCAUAAUCCAGAAAUUUUCCAAUAAAAUUUUCAAAUUGUUUUGCCAACUCCUCAAACAUCAAUCCAUUGGAUAAAUCAUAAAUUUAUACCCAAAAACCACCCUAUCAACGUCCACCUCAUAAAAAAAUGAAAUAAAAACAGUUUAUCACUCAAAUUUGAAAUAGAACCCCCAAAGGGUGCAAGAUAUUGACCAACGUAGUCCUCAUCACUUGGAACUGAAUUGUGCUUGCAAUUAGAAAACUCCCAACCAAAUGGUAUUCAUAAACCUUCAACCUUAGCCUCUAACAGGAUUUGCCAAGCCUCCUCCUCUCUCCUUCAUCAAUCCUCAGAUUUGCGAUUUCUUCUUCCAUGAUUGCAAUCUAGACCCCACAUUCGACAAACCCACCCCAAGAAGAAAACAUGCAAAAAAAAAAAAAAACCUAAUUAAAAGAGAAAACAUGCUACAAGAACAGACCUAUACUAUCAUAAAUUUAGUUUUUAAACUUUAUAUAUAAAAAAAAUAUAACAAUCAUGUGUACAACUUUUGAGUUAUCAAUUAUUCUCUAUAUAUAAGCCAUCCAAGUGAUUGAAGUGUACAAAUACCAUAAUUGGUAUACAUUUCAGAGUCAAUCGAUACUAAAUUAACCAGUGCUUCAAAUCAGUGGAAGUGCCACCAAAUGAUUAAAAUGUAUACCAUAGUUGUUUUAAGCAUUUUAUUUUUUAAAAUAAAUUUUGAAAAAUAUUUAUUAUUUUUAAUAUAUAUUAAAUGGUAGCAAUAGAAUUAAAGCAUUUAUACCCAUAUAAUAUUUUUAAAUAAAAAUAUAUAUUUUUAAAAUUUUAUAUAAUUUAGAAAAAUUAUCUUCAAUGACUUUUUUAUUAAUUUUUAAUUUUUUUUAACUUUUGAACUCUAUUUGAUAUUUUUAUAAAAUUUAAUAAUAUUUUUACAAAUUUAAAAAAAUUUAAAAAAUAUUUUUUAAUUUUAAAAAUUUAAGUUUCCAAUAAAAAUAAAAAUAAAAUACUUCUUUUACUUUUAACUUUUUUUUUUGUUGAUGUGAUAGCUAACGUGGUACUAAUACAUUAGCAACCAUGGUUGACAUGAAGCACCACGUUAUUAAUGGACAUGUUAACGCUGUAACAGUCAAAGAUGAAAAACAUUGGUCAAAUGAUUUACUUAAUUAAAUAUAUUUUUCUAUGAAGAGGGCUUAAUUAAUUUUUUCCCGAAAGUUUAAAGGCAUAUAUAUCCCUUUAGUUAUUAUUAUUAUUUGCAUAAACAUUAAUUUUAAAUAUUAUAUACAACAUACUAACAAAGAAUCUCGAAGCAUGCUAAAAAUAUAUAACAACUUUUAAACAUAUUUUAAUACUUCAUUAAAUUUUUUUGGGAUUUAUAUUAAUACCUGAAAAUUUUUUUUGAUGACGUGGUACUCUAAACCUAAAUCUUAUCAUCGUAUAAUUUUUUUAAGAAAAAAAUAUAAAAUUUUAUUGUGAUGACAUAAAAUAAUAUCAGAGGGCGAUAUUAUUACAUGGGCUAAAAUUAGAAAAUAUUACAAAAUUUUAAGAUUAAUGUAAGAAAAAUUACGGAGCUCUAAGAUAAAAUAAAAGAGUAAGUUAUGGAAUAAAUAUUGUUUUAUCCAACUUUUAGGACUUAGGAGUUUGCCGCCACUUUCAUUUGUCCCGUUAAAAAGAUAAUUAAAUGUAAAUUAUAUGGACUUAAAUUUUGUUUUUUUUGUUUUUAAGUAGCAUUAAGAAGGGCAGAGCGCAGAGACGCUUCAAAUCCCUCAGUUUCCCUCACAAUUCACACUAUAAAAUUAAAUUUUUUAAUUCUUGUUUUUGGUGGAGGAAUUUAAAAUGGGGCCACCUAUGUAAAUACUAUAGAAAUACUAUAAGUUCUGAAAAAAUGGAGGACUUCAAAAUAAUUUUCUAUUUUUUGGUGGAGCCAACUUAAAUGGCACCACUAGACCCUUCUUUUAUUUUUUAUUUUUACUUUUUUAUUAACUUUUGUCUUUUUCUUUAAAUUUUUUUCUUUUUUUAAGUUUUAUAUUUUUUUCUUAUUUUAUUUUGUUUAUUUAUUUAUUUUAUUUAUUGUUAUUAAUUUUAAAAAGUUUGGAAUGUAUAUUUGAAAUGUUUUAUAAUAUAUAUCUUUUAAAAUUUUAAAUACUAUUUUUAAAUUAUUUUUAAAAUUUUGAAUAUUAUUUUUUAAAAUAUUAAAUAUAUAUUUUUAAUAAUAUAAAAUAUUUAAAUAUUUUAAAGGUAUGACCUUUCAAAUUUAUUAUUAAUUUUUUAAUAUUUUUAAUAUUAUUUAAUUUGUUUUAUAAUAUUUUAAAUUAUGAUUUUUAAAUUAUUUUUAAAGAUAUUCAGCUUUUUAAUAAAAAUAACCCAAAAAAUUUAAUUAAUUAUCAAAAUGACCCAUUUUUUAAUUUGGCUCCACCAAAUUUUACUGUAGAUUUCAGGUCACUUUUGUGUUUAAUUAAAAAAAUGAGUUAUUUUGAUAAUGAAUUAAAUUUUUUGUGUUAUUUUUAUAAAAAAAGUCAAGAUAUUGAAACCAUUUUUUAAAUUCUAUUUAAAAAUUAAAAAUAAUAUUUUAUUUAAAAAAGUGAAAUUUGAAUUAAUUAAAAAAUAAAAAUAUUUGUUAAAAAAGAUUUAUUUGUUAAAAAAUAAAUUUAUUUAAAUAUAUAUAUUAAAAAGUAAAAAUUUAAAUUAAAAGUUAAAAAUAUAUAUUAUAAGAUCACAUCAUGUCAGUAAUGUGACUAGACAUGAAAUUAAAUAUUAAAUAAAAAACUAAUCUUAUAUAAGGGGGUUUGGUCCCCCUUCAUAAGAAAGAAAAGAGAGAAAAAAAAAAGUUAAGUUAGUUAAUUUUUUUAUAUUUUAUAGUUAUUGUAAUAUAAUAAUUAUUUAUAUUGUAUUUAUGUGUUUUUUUUUAAUAUUAUAUAGAUAUCAAAAUGUCUUCUGGAGAUACGGAUCGCACUUCAUCGAGGAUCGACGAAACAGUAAAAUUAAUUAUGAAUUAAAUAAAAAAAUCGUUUUAAUUUCUCUUUUUUUCUUGCUAAGCACUACUUUGCUCAACAUGUUUUGAUUCAUGAAUGUGAUCUCUAUUUAGUUAUUAUUAUUCCUUUUUAACUAUUUUCUUGCAUGAAAUUAAUCUGUAUGUGUUGGUUAUAAUUUUUUAAUUUUAGUACACAUUUAUAAUUUUAUAUAUUAAUUUUUUAAUUUUAGUACACGUUCAUAAAUUUAUGUACUUAAUAUAUAUUUUUAAUAGAUAAAGACAAAAAAGAUUUUCUUAAUAGAUUUAAAAUGUUUAAAAACUUAAAGAAAUUAAAUAUAUUAAAAAAUGUUAUGUAUAGCCAAUUUUAAAACUUUAAUAUAUUUAAUAUAUUUUUAAAAAAUUAAAUAUAUUAAAAAAUGUUAAGUAUAACCAAUAUUAAAAUUAUAAUAUAUUCAAUAUAUUUUUAAAAUAUAUAUUUUAAAAUGUUAAUAUAUAUUUUAAUAGGAAAAGAGAAAAAUGAUUUUUUUAAUAUAUUUUAAAUUUUAAAAAACGUAAAAAAAAUUUAAAUAUAUUAAAUUUUUAAAUAUGUUAAAAGAAAAUGUUGAGUAUAACCAAUUUUAAAUUUUUAAUAACUGAAUAUAUUUAAAUAUAUUAAAAUUUUGAACAUAUUAAAAAAAAUUAAGUCUAUAUAUUAUAUGUAAGAUAAAAGGUCUCGUAUGUAAGAUAAAUUUUCGAGUUUGAUUAUGCCUGUUUCGGAGAUCAACUCCGUAGGACCGUGGCGGGAUCCCCGACCGGCGACCAAUAUACUCUAUCACUCGAAAAGUUUCCAAAUUUCGGAAAUAUAGUUCUGCAUUCAUCAACCUAGCCCUUUGAGCGUUCUUUUUCAUGGCAUCCCUAAUUUUUUUCAUCAUACACGUGUCCUGCCUCUAACUGUGUUGCUUGUUUCAACCCCAUUUUUGGCAUUAAGGUUGCUAGCCUAUAAAAUGUGGCUGAAAAAACCGUUGAAAUUGGCAAGUGACGCAUACGCCUCAAGACGGAGUUAAUGACCUCAACGAGGCUAGUUGUCAUUUGACCAUACCGGUACCCUUCAUCAAAACAUUGAGCCCAUUGCCACGGCUCCAUGCUACCUAACCACUGUCUGAGAGAAGGAUUGAACUCCGCCAUAUCAGUCUCUAACCUCGCCAACUUAUGUUUGAAACGGUGUGCUUCCAGCUCGUAUCCUAUGUAUGUAUUCCAAUUUUAAGUUAUGUUACUAUUCGAAUUAGGAAAUGAACUUGAAAUAAUUACAAAUACGAAUUUAAAUACGAUAUUUUUACCCAUGUUCACAAUUCGUUUGCGCCAGUCUUUGUUCCUGUACUGAUUGUAGAAGUUCACAGUGAUGUGACGAAUACAAUAAACGGACCUCCAUGGAACCUCAGAUUGUCAAAUCGCAGCAACAAGACCCUUCGACCUGUCGAAGAUAAUGCAAAUGUUGUCUUGCUUGACAACAUGUCUCCGUAAGUUCUGAAUGAAAUAUGCCCACAAUUCGGAGUUCUCAGACUCCACGAUGGCAAAAGCGAUCGGUAUUACAUUUCCAUUACCGUCUUGUGCAACCGCAAUUAGAAGUAUUUGCGUGUAUUUUCCAUAAAGUCAUGUUUCAUCAACUUGCACUAGUAGUUUGCAGUAGGGGAAGGCUCUAACACAUGGAUCGAAAGUCUAGAACAAUCAACGAAAAACUCUUCUCCCUAGUUCCAAUUGUCCAUUAGGGCCUCUAUAAGGCAACGUUUGCAAGUCCACGAUAGUUCCUAGGAUGUACUCCACCAUCGCUGAAAUCCAACCUUGAAGUUCAUUGUAUGACUCAUCCCAGUCUCCGUACAAUUUUUGCAUAGCCAUUUGUUUCGCCAACCACGCUUUCCUAUACAAAACUUUGUACUGAAAUCGAGCUUGCAUGUCUGCAAUCAAUGUUGACAUAGAAAUGAUUAGACUAUCUUUCACUAGUGGCAUGAUGCUGUUGCAAAUACUUUUGGCAUCCAAUUUCCGGUGGUCUUGAGACAUACGUGCGACACUACAUGUAUGACACCCUUUUAAUUUUCGUAUUUGCCACUAUUGAGUCCUCUGUAUAAAUGCAGCUCGAACUCGCCAACCACACCCAUCGCCGGCUCUCCAACAUUCCCCGACAUAUAAUGUCGGUGUAGAUUUGACAACCUUGUAAUUAAUCGACAACUUCAUAAUGUAUUGUUUGAUGAAAAACACACAGUCCGCCUUGUUCUCGAACCGUUGCCCAACGAAUAACUCCUCAAACUGUGAAUUUAUCUUCAAUCUAUGAGCAGAUACUAUAUCGGCAUACUCAGGAAACUCAGAUGCAUGCGCUGCAACUGGAUCUACGUUCAACAUGUCACCCCCAGGUUCAUUUAGUUAAAUAAUGCCACGACUUGGGUUACUGAAUGAAGGGUUGUGAACACCUUCAACCUCUUCUGGGCCUUCAUCAUCAAUGUCGCCCGGAACCUCAUCAACAUCGGGGUCACUAAAAUCUUCAACGUCUUGAUCAGAAUCUUUAUCAUUAUUGGUCAUUUCUCUGACAUUUGCCUCUGUGCUUAUUAUCACCUCUGGAUGUAUUUGUAAACGGGGACCGGAGGUAGGGUUGUUAUACGAACUCCCACCAUAAUUAGAAUUUUUGGGCAUCUGUGAUGUCCCUUCACAUUCUAAUUGGUCUAUCCAUCCAACAUUAAGAUCAAAGUCAAAUUCGUGAUGUUGACUUAUUAGACUAACAUUCUCAACAGGCUUUAAGUCUGCGAACUCGGCAAAUAAUUCAAUUGGUUGGGGGUUCUCACUCCCAGUCGGCCACCAUAUUUCCAUCAUAGUGCCUAAGUCGUCAUAAUCUAACAGCUGCAUCUCACAAAAUUUGAACGGAUCUGUAGAGACUGGAAACUUGUAAAAUAAUUUGGACAUCGCACUUCCACAACGGAUAGCUAUUUUCGCACUGAUCUUCCUUUUCAUUUCUGCUAGCUCCACAUUUUUUUUGAAAAGCAAACCUACUCUUUGCCGACCUUGAAAUACACAACCAACAUCACUUUCUUUAAUUUCACCAUAAAAAAUAACAUACACCAAAAACACCUCAUUAUUCAUCUUGAAUAGAUUUUUUUAACUCUCCUAGUGAACACAAUAAUUUCUCCAUUCUAUAUAUGGUAGAGAACCGAGAGGUCCACCAAAAUAAAACAUUAAAUAUUAAAUUAUUAUAUUAAAAAAUUAAAAAAAAGUACACUAUAAAGUGAUGGAGCCAUUCUAAAUGGCUCCUCCAAAUAAAAUAUUAAUUCUUAUAAUUUUAAAUUUAAUUUAAAAAAUGUUUGAAUAUCUUUAAAAUUAAUUUUAAAAUUAAUAAUUUAUAAAAAUUAUAUUUAAAAUUUAAAAUAUAUAUUUAAAAUAUUAUAAAACAAAUAAUAAAUUUGAAAAGUCAUAUCUUUAAAAAUAAUAUAUUUUAAAUAAUUUAAAAAUCAUAAUUAAAAAAAUUAUAAAACAAAUUAAAAUAUACAUUUAAAAUAUUAUAAAACUAAUAAUAAAUUUGAAAGGUCAUAUCUUUAAAAUAUUUAAAUGUUUUAUAUUAUUAAAAAUAUAUUUAAUAUUUAAAAAAUAAUAUUUAAAUUUUUUAAAAAAUUAAAAAUAAUUUCAAAUAUAUAUAUUUAAAAUUAAAAAAAUAUAUAUUAUAAAACAUUUCAAAUAUACAUUUCAAGUUUUUUAAAAUUAAUAAUAAAAUAAAUAAAAAUAAAUCAAUAAAUAAAAAUUAAGACAAAAAUAAAAAAAAUGUCAGAGAAAUGACAAAAGUUAAAAAAAAAAGUAAAAUUAAAAAAAAAAUAGAAGCAGGGUGUUCUGGUGGUGGCGCCGUUUAAAUUGGCUCCACCAGAAAUUAGAAAAUUGUUUUUAAAGUCCCUCAUUUUUUCAGAUAUACAUUUCAAAUUUUUUAAAAUUAAUAACAAUAAAUAAAAUAAAUAAAUAAACAAAAUAAAAUAAGAAAAAUAUAAAACUUAAAAAAAGAAAAAAAUUUAAAGAAAAAGACAAAAGUUGAUAAAAAAGUAAAAAAAAUAAAAAAAGUGGCGCCAUUUAAGUUGGUUCUACCAAAAAAUAGAAAAUUGUUUUGAACUUUGAAGUCCCUAUUUUUUUAAAAUUUGCAGUAUUUUUAUAAUAUUUAUACAUGACGCCAUUUUACAUAGCUCCACCAAAAAAUUAAUUUUUUAAUGUUCCCUGCUGACGUGGCAAGUUGAUAGCGCCAUAUAAUUUAGCUCCACCAACUUUUACUGUAAAUUUUAGAUCAUUUUAGUGUUUAAUUAAAAAGGUGGGUCAUUUUGUUACUUAAUUAAAUUAUUUGAGUUAUUUAAAUAAAAAAGCCGUGAAUGGCUGAUUCCCAAUAUCUGAUAAGAAAAUGAACAUAAAUAUGUGAUUGUGAGGCGACAUUAGGAACGGGUAAUGGAGUAGAGAAAAUCAUAGUUCAUAAUGUGGGGAAUAAGAUGCCAUUCUCUGCAGUUUGUUUCCUGAUAAGUUAGAGUGUUGUCAAUUGAAUUUGGAAUUUGAGGAAUCUGAUAAAGUUGUCUUCUCUACUGUCGGCCUUCGAACUGUUCAUCUUACUGGUUAAUAUCUGCCUACUUCCCUUAUUCAUCAUAAUGAUGAAUUGUAUCUUUUUUUUGGAUUUUUUAUGUUUUGAAUUUACUUCAUGUUCUCUGUGGCGUAGGACUUCUUUUCUACUGUUUACAUUAACUAUGUUGGUUAGGGAAUCAUAUGGGGAAGAUAUUGCAGAAACAAAAACAGAAAGAUCGGAUAAAAGCGAAGAAAGUGAGUAUGGCGGUAGUUUUAUUGACGAUGAUGAUCCGAAAUUCGUCUCAUCUUCUCAAGAAUUUUCUGGCGAAGGAAGGCGUAAGAAGAAAUACCAGAUCAGUGAAUCUGAAAAUGAGGGAAGUUCUCAGCAAAUGGAUUUCACUAGUGGUAUUGCUGCUACUGUGGAAGUAUUGGACAGUGAACUUGAAGUUACAUUGCCCAUCUCCUCACUAUCUGCAUCGAAGAGUGGAAAAGCUGAUGUGAAGGAAAUAGCUUGAGAAAAAUAGAUAAUCAUAAUGACAAUGAGAUUGAAGAUGAUGCUACCAUGUUAGAAGGGACUAAUGCUGUGAGAGGUGUUGAGCUUGAAUGGUAUGAUUGUUCUAUGGCUUUAAUAGAAACAGAUAAAUCUAUCAAAUGAUAUUGAAAUUUGAUGCAAUAUCUAAAGUAACUAUAUUAUGAAGGCGAGUCAUGGGUGCCAACUAUCAUCUGUUUAAGAUAUGGUUGUUUGCUUCAUAGGAUUGUGUUUAUGACUUUUUGUUAUUUCUUACUGGCUUACCGUAAAUCAGGGAAUAGGCAUGGAGAAAAACAAAAGCAUGAGCUUCGUGAAGAGCUCUGGCAAAGGAGGAAAGAUCACCGGGACCUGAUCAUCGCAUGAUUGAAAAAGCUUGUCUACUUAGUUGUAAGCUUUACAAUCAAAUUGCCAUGUAAGUAAUGACUACUUGCUGGCUUCCAGUGAAGUGGGUACUGAAGAUGGAGCUAAGUUAAAGAGGAAAAGAAAAGAACAUUUUGAAUAUAAAACACUCGAAGACGAUGUUACCAAAGAGGAUGAAGUCCAGAAAAGUGGUUCAAAUUUGAACACUGUAACCGAGGAUGUAGCAGUGGAGGAUAAGGAAACUCAAAACCAAGAUAAUCACAAGUAGGUGUUUAUCCUUAGACUCACAAUACCGUGAAUAGCCAUACUGCAAUUGCAGUUUUCUCAUUUCUAAUUUCUAAUUUAUGAUACAUAUAUCUUUGAUGCCUGAGUUCGCUUUGCUAGCAAAUGACAUUGUUUUCUUUCUUAAAAUCCUUCUAGGAAGAGGGAAAAUAAGAGAAAGUGUAAGGAUAAAGAAGGGAUGCUAUGAAGAUGGAAGUUGGAACCACCUAGCUAACCAGCCAAUGAAAAGAAGAUAACUGUUGUGGAAAUGGAUGCCAAGGAUGCUAAUGAUAAGGAAAUUCAGCUGUCAAAUUGAUUUAUCAUUGAAGAGUUAGAAAGGUUCUGAUAUAUUCUUCUAGGGUAUUUUUGUUCUAAUUUUGGCACUCAAUGAUAAUGAUUUAUUUAAUUCGGUUUUAAGGUUGAUUUGAUUAUGGUUAUUUGCUAAUAUUAUUAAAUUUAAUAUUUUUAUAAUAACUUUUGUCAAAUACGGAUUUGAGAUUAAACGAAAAUCAUGCAUUAAGCAAUUUGAAUAAAUGGAAGAUGAUUUAAUUGUUGAUUGGAGUGGAAUAAUCUGCCAUUUGCGAAUAGAAUUUUCUUUUCUUUAAAAAAAAAAAUCAGUUUCAAAAUUUGUAGUUUACGUUUCAUAUUGGAGCUCGAGUCUUGUCGGCAUUAAUAAAAAAAAUCGUAUAAUUACUUAAACAAUGUAAUUAAAAUAAUCGACAUCACUGUUCAGGCUGAGGCAACGGAAAGAUCCAAAGAUAUUUAGAGAAGAAAUAGAGACCGUUUAAAUGCGAUAUUGUAUUUUUAUUAAUAAAUAAAAAACAAAAAAAUAAUUAAUUAAUCAGUGGAAUUCAAGAAGAUAAAGAUUGAGUGGAGGUGGGAAAGAUAUUUAGAAAAAAAAAAAACACUUAAAAAGAAUUUAAUAUAGGACUAAUAUUAUAUAGCUAUUUACGAGCUACGUGGCGCAUCAAAUGAAAAUAAAAUAAAUUCCUGACAUUUAUGCGUCUAAAGAACGCGCUGAUUCCUCCAUCAAUCACCGUUUAUCAUCUACUGAUACGAUAAUCAUACCAGUUACCAAGCUUUAAAACGAAGGUUCUAAAGUUAUUAUAAUAGAUUCGUGUACAGGUAAUUCCUAUCUAAAAUAAAAUAAAAAUAUAUUCCGCAUUUCUCGUUACGAUAAAUUCACCUGAACCUUCAAACCAAAACCGCUCAAUUCAAUUCAAUUUAACUCAGCUCAGCUCAGCUCAACUCACUUAACUCUUUUCUGCUGCGGUGGCGAUGGGGGCGGCGAUGUUGUCGGAGUUGGCGACGGAGAUCGUGGUGCCAGUGUGCGCCGUGAUUGGAAUAGCUUUCUCGUUGGUGCAGUGGGUGAUGGUGUCGCGCGUGAAGCUUACCUCCGAGAGCCAUGCGUCGUCGGCGAAUAGUAGCAAGAAUGGUUACGGUGAUUACUUGAUUGAGGAAGAGGAAGGAAUCAAUGACCAUAGCGUUGUCACCAAGUGCGCUGAUAUUCAAAACGCUAUCUCUGAAGGUUAGAUCUAAGAUUUUUUUGUUUUUCUUUUCUUUAAUCUUUUUUUGAAGAAUUCUUUUCUUUAAUCUUUCGCGUUAUCUUUUCAGUGGCAAGAAUUUUCAAGAAACGUUAUACCAUUGAUAUUCACCAGUUUAGAACGUAGUAAUAAGCGAUUUAGUUAACAUGGAAAUUAAAAUUUAGUUAUUUUAAUGCUCAACUUCGUUAUUUUGUUAAAAUUUUAAGUAUGUAAUUUUUGUUAAAGUUUAACUUUACGAGGAGGUAAUCAACGGUUUAAUUUAAAAAUUUUAAUUUAGAGGUUUUUUAUUUUUGUUGCAAUUAAAUUAUAGAAUUUGUGAUGAAGCUCAAACAGCGAGUUUUUUAAAGGUAAGUAUUUGUUUAAUUAUUUUCAUCUUAAAUGAUUUGGGUUGAAUUUUGAAUUCUUUGCACACCAUCAAGGAAACUAUCAGUAAUAAAAAAUCGAAUUCUUUUAUAAAAAUUAAAAAUUUAUAAAAUAUAUUUGAUCUAGUUUUUAGUUUAAGGGGAAUGGAAUUGGGUGCUUAGUAGCAUUGGUUAAGGUUAUAUUACUGUACUAAUGUAUAAUUACUAAAAAAAGUAAUGUAUAAUUAAUUAUUUUUUAAUUCAACAAAAACAAUAUAUUAAAUACAAAAUAAUCUUUCAUAAAAUAGUAAUUUAAUAAUUAGAUCAAUUUUUUAUCAGUUGGUUCAAUAUAUAUAUAUCUUCCCGACUAGACAGGCCACCAAUUCCCAGUUCAUAGAGUCUUCCAUUUACAUUUAAUUUAGUUUUAAUUAAUCUUUUUUUUAAUUGGAUAUAAGAUUGAUUCUUUUUAGUUAUAACUGGGACAGGCUUUAUCUUUGAUGUUACUGUAAGUUAUUAUACGUUGUCUUAUGCAAAUAAAGGUCAUUUGCCCUCCAUGGAUGUUAGAAUUAUUAGCCUCCCUUGCACAUGUGCUGCACGUGGCCUGUUUUCCUUAUCUUCCUUUUCUUGAAAGUUUCUUUGGUAUGCUGACAAUGGAAGAUUUAACUUUCCAGUGGGAUCAAGAAAAUUAGCUUGGGGUUAACAAAUUAUUAUCUCACGUCUCACUUUUUUUAAUAUACAUGGAGGAAUAUGUGUCAUCGAUGAUUUCACUUUUGAAGUUAUAACAAUUUUCAUUAAAGUUGUAUAUGAUAAUUUUCUUUUUAAAGUAAUAAUAAUCAUUGAGAAUAUAAUAUCAGCAUAGAGUAUUGUUGGAGCCUUUUAAAUAAUUGAUACUUAUUCCUUGCUCCAACUUUUGUAAACAAAAAAGAUAAUCAUUUAAUAAAGAUAUUUUCUGUUUUAUUGCUUUGGAAGCUGUUUAAGGUUUGGAAGCUUGUCUUAUGAACUUGUUAUGCAGCUUUUAUUCUGUAAGGGUUAAAUACUUUCAGUUCCGUAUUUGAGAUUUUCCAAAUGUUUUAGCACCAGUAACUAAAUAAUUUGAUAAUAGAAAUGAAAAUUUAUUAUUGACACUAAUACAUUUCAAUACGACAAUUACAACAACAAAGAUAAUAUAUUGAUAAUCUAGGAGUUAUAUAUUAAUUGAUAAUUAUGAUUAUAAUAUAUUAUUUAAUAAUAACGUAACUAUUUAUUUCAAAAUAAUUGAAGUUGAGAAAUGCUUAUGUAUCUACAUGAUGAUGCUUUUGUUACCUUUUUUUUUGUGAAAAAGAUUUCAAUAUCAUGAACUAUUUGGGAGAUGCAUUAUUGAACUUUCUAGUACUAAAGAGUAAAAUCCUAAGCCUUGUUGCUCUGGUCUUAGUUUCAUGCACAAGUCAGUUCUUCAAUUCGUGGUGAUGCAGUAUCCUGCAUUUGUGCUCAUUGUGAGAUUUGGUCUCGUGUAUGAUUCUUGAUCAUCUCUCGGUUAACCUGUGGAUGUAUCGGUGUAACAGGUGCAACAUCCUUUCUUUUUACUGAAUAUCAGUAUGUUGGCAUCUUCAUGAUUGCUUUCGCUAUCCUGAUUUUCCUCUUCCUGGGCUCUGUUGAGGGCUUCAGCACGAAGAGCCAGCCUUGUACCUAUGAUAAGGAGAAGAUGUGCAAACCAGCUCUUGCGACUGCUAUCUUCAGUACUGUAUCCUUCUUGCUUGGUGCCAUCACUUCAGUUCUUUCUGGAUUCCUUGGAAUGAAAAUUGCUACCUAUGCCAAUGCAAGAACAACCUUAGAAGCAAGAAAAGGCGUCGGAAAGGCUUUUAUUGUUGCGUUUAGAUCUGGUGCAGUAAUGGGUUUUCUCCUUGCAGCAAAUGGUUUAUUGGUACUUUACAUUGCCAUCAAUCUAUUCAAGCUGUACUAUGGUGAUGACUGGGAAGGCCUUUUUGAGGCUAUUACUGGUUAUGGUCUUGGUGGAUCCUCUAUGGCACUCUUUGGAAGAGUUGGUGGUGGUAUCUAUACAAAGGCUGCUGAUGUUGGUGCUGAUCUCGUAGGAAAGGUUGAAAGGAACAUUCCAGAAGAUGACCCAAGAAACCCAGCUGUAAGCCUAGUUAUUUUUUUUGGAAAAUAGUUAUUUGAUCAUCUUUCUGCAAGUAAUUAUUUUCUCGCAUAGAACCCUUAAAUGAUAUAAAUUUUUUUUAUUAAUCAGGUCAUUGCUGAUAAUGUUGGUGAUAAUGUCGGGGACAUUGCUGGAAUGGGGUCUGAUCUAUUUGGCUCAUAUGCUGAAUCUUCUUGUGCUGCUCUUGUUGUAGCUUCUAUAUCCUCCUUUGGAAUAAACCAUGACUUCACGGGCAUGUUGUAUCCUCUGCUCAUUAGUUCUGUUAGUAUUCUUGUCUGUUUGAUCACAACCCUAUUUGCUACCGAUUUGUUCGAAAUCAAGGUUGUCAAGGAAAUUGAACCAGCUUUGAAGAAGCAGCUCAUCAUCUCCACUAUUCUUAUGACAGUAGGAAUUGCAAUUGUUACUUGGAUUGGUGUGCCAUCUUCCUUCACCAUUUACAAUUUUGGGGUUCAGAAAGUUGUUAAGAAUUGGUAAGUUUACAUGGUUCUUAUAGAUAACAUUCAUGUUGUAAAAGUAGCAUUCCUUGAAUUUCCUGAUGGAUGCAUACUAUAACACAGGCAUGCUCCUAAUUUUGUGAGAUUAGGAAAGAUUAACUUGUUAUUAUCUUUUGGUGAGUUACCAGUUGAUAUUGGGCUAAUUAGUUUCUUAAAAUCAGCAUAGUUUGAGAAAAUUGACUUGGUAUGGUUGUACCCUAAUAACAUGAAUAUUAUAAUGAACUUCACAAAAGAUCUGAAGCAGAAGUUUGCAUGUGGUAUAUCUUUGCUUAGCAUCCUAUUUCUCAUGUAGUUGCUUUCCUCAUGCUUGUAAAAUGAUUUUGAUUUGCAGGCAACUAUUUUUGUGCGUGGGUGUUGGUCUCUGGGCUGGACUUAUUAUUGGUUUUGUUACCGAGUACUACACCAGCAAUGCUUACAGGUAUGGGAAUAGUGCUUUGACUAAUUAUCUAUAGUGGUAUUCAUGUUUUUGCAUCUUAAUUGAUCAUUUCCUGUAUUUGCAGCCCUGUGCGGGAUGUUGCUGACUCUUGCAGGACGGGAGCAGCAACCAAUGUUAUAUUUGGCCUUGCUUUAGGAUACAAAUCUGUGAUCAUCCCAAUUUUUGCCAUAGCAAUCAGUAUUUUUGUUAGUUUUAGCUUUGCUGCUAUGUAUGGGAUUGCAGUUGCUGCCCUUGGAAUGUUAAGCACCAUUGCAACUGGGUUGGCUAUCGAUGCUUAUGGUCCCAUCAGUGACAAUGCUGGAGGUAUUGCUGAGAUGGCUGGUAUGAGCCAUCGCAUUCGUGAGAGAACUGAUGCUCUUGAUGCUGCUGGAAACACCACUGCUGCCAUUGGAAAGGUACUGCAUUUAAUUAUCUUUCCCAGGGGCUGUUGUUACGAAAGUGAUUUUAACUUCAAAAGCAGUUCACUUAAAUUUUAGUAUAGCAUAAAUGGAAUUACCGUGUUUGAUGAACUAUCCUUAUAUGUUUCCAGGGAUUUGCCAUUGGGUCAGCGGCGUUGGUGUCUUUGGCUCUAUUUGGUGCCUUUGUGAGCCGUGCUGCUAUCACGACCGUAGAUGUCUUGACCCCAAAAGUUUUCAUUGGUUUAAUAGUUGGAGCCAUGCUUCCUUACUGGUUCUCUGCAAUGACCAUGAAGAGUGUGGGAAGUGCUGCUUUAAAGAUGGUUGAGGAGGUUCGCAGACAGUUCAACACCAUUCCCGGUCUCAUGGAGGGUCAUGCCAAGCCCGAUUAUGCUACCUGUGUCAAAAUCUCAACUGAUGCCUCUAUCAAGGAGAUGAUCCCUCCUGGUGCCCUUGUUAUGCUUACUCCCCUCAUUGUUGGAACUUUCUUUGGUGUUGAGACUCUUUCUGGUGUCCUUGCUGGGGCUCUUGUUUCCGGUGUUCAGGUAGCAAAUUCACGGUUUAUUUUCCUUUGGUUUAUUUAUGAAUGGUCACUAUGCAAUCUAUAAGAAAAUUUUUGUAAGUUACCAUUGAAAGCUUGACUGAUUUUGUAAGUUAAUUGACUUCGUACUUUUGACAGAUUGCAAUAUCUGCAUCCAAUACUGGUGGGGCAUGGGACAAUGCCAAGAAGUACAUUGAGGUAAAUGACCUUUCCCUGAACUUCUUUAUGGGCUUCAACACUUUCUUUGCGCCAAUUGAUUUAUAUCAUGUUCAUUGCCAGGCCGGUGCGUCCGAGCAUGCAAAGACCCUCGGUCCAAAAGGAUCCGAUCCUCACAAGGCAGCUGUCAUUGGUGACACUGUUGGAGACCCUCUCAAGGAUACCUCCGGUCCAUCACUUAACAUUCUUAUCAAGCUUAUGGCAGUCGAGUCACUUGUGUUUGCUCCCUUCUUCGCCACACACGGUGGUCUACUCUUCAAGAUCUUUUAGGGAAUGGAUGGCUGGAAAUGCACCGUGGAAGGCUGGUUAGCAUCUCUGUUUAAAUGGUUUAAUAUAUAAUACGAUAAUUGAGUUUGACAUUUUUUUCUAAUAUGGUUCCUGUAUUUCAUAAAAGUUGAUAUAUUUUGGUGUUUGAAGGCAACUUGUUUAACUUUUUAAUGUUAAAUUUAGGUUUUAGAAUUGAUUGGAUGAAAAUCCAUAAUUAAACUAAUUAUAUUAGUAGAUAGUUUUCAUCAAAUUAACCAGGGCGUAACUAGCGGGUUGACAAGGGGCCGGUCCUUUUUUUCAUUCAUUUAGAUCUUUUAAAAUUUUUAAAAUUUUAAAUUAAUAAAGGUAAAAUUUUACUUUGUUACCCUUAAAAAUGAUAAAAUUUUGAUUUAAUCUUUUAAAAAUGAUAAAGAUAUAUACUAUGAAAAUGGUAAAAUUAUAUUUUUACUAUUGUAAAAAUUCUAAUUUAAUUUCGGUCUGCUAGAAAAUUUUUUUGCUUUCACUCUUGAAUGAAAUCAUAUUGUUUGGAUAGUAUUUGACUAAUUAAGCGUAAAAUCAAACAAAUUAUCAUUUAACAUUACAUUUAUUCUAUUAAUAAAAUCAUGAAAUAUUAAAUUUUAAUCAAAUCAAACCUAAACUUAAAUAUUAAAAAUUAGAAUCAUUACUUUUGUUAAAAUAUAUAUAUUUGUUAAUUAUAGAUAUCAAAGUAGAUAAAAAUGAUACAAGUAUCGCAUUAGAAAGCAUCAAAACAUAUAUUUUUAAGAAAUUAAAACAUUGUUGGCAAUAUAAUUGGAUUUCAAGUUUUAGAGUAUAUAAAUAAAAGAUUAUAUAUACACAUAUGGAAACAUUUUUCAAAGCAAAAUAAAAGAAAGACAAGAUAAACUUAAUUUCGGACUGUAAUUGUUUAAUACAUUAAAUUUAUCAUUUUAAUUUUUUUUAAAAAUUACCAAUCUAGCAUUAUUAGUCAUUUGUUAAAAUAAUUCUGAAUUUACAAAGAAUGUUUCCUUUCCUUAGAAGAACCAAUUCUUCUGCUAGCUUUGUUUCUAAUCAAUCCCAAGAAUCUGACCAAACCUCAAACAAUACUGUUAAUAAACAAGAAGAACAUUAUGAAAAUAUUUCCCAAAGAUUUGAUAAUUGAACUCUUCCAAGAGUUCCAACAAACCAAGUUUACAAAAACACAACUUUUAAAAAUUUAAAUGCUUUUUGCAGUUAUGUUAUAAAAACAAAAGAAAGGAGUUUAUCUAUUCAAAAAGAAUAUGAAACAAUCCAAUUAUUAGAUAAAGUCGUCAUUAAUAAACUCAAAGAACAAAGAUACAAAUACAUCCAUUUUGGAUUAGUCCAGGUUGGAGUCAAACCUCUUAGUGUUGAAGCCACUAAAAAUACCUCAAUAUUAGUAGUCUUAAGAGACCAAAGACACAUCAUGUUUAAUGACUCAUUAUUAGGAACUAUAGAAACAAGCCUAUGUACUGGCCCAAUACAUUUUAAUUGUUAUCCAAAUUUUAUGGUUUCUUUGACUGAUAAAAACAUUUUACAAUCUUUAACACUUCAAAUACAUACCCAUAACUACAAAAUGCUUCCAGGUACAAAAGUGUUAACUUUGGUUUAUAGACUCCAUUUCAAAGCCAUGUAUUCUGUAGUUAAUACCAAGGUUUUACUCCAAAGCCCAAAAGCAUGGUCAUUGAUUAAUCCAUUUUGAUUUUGGGUUUUAUAAACAUUUGAAACCAUUGUCAUUUGUUGUAAUAAACUAAGAAUAUUAUAUUCGGACAUUCCAUCUAUAUUCCAUUCAUAGAUUGUAUUAGCAUUGUAUUUAUUUUGGAAAACAGGUUUUUCUUCUAUGUUAAGAUCAGGUGCAGUGAUUUUUGGAUAAUAUAAUCUUUUUGGUUCUUUCCAAGCUAUCUUGUUAAUUUGUUGUUCAUCUGACUGAUCCGAGUCAGAUUGGGAGGAUUGGUGUAAUGUAUUUACUAAAUAUUGGGUUUGUAUUGGGGUAUCAGGGGCGAUUAAUUUAGACUUAUGGUUUUCUAAAGCAUUAAGUCUAUUUUGGAUUUCUGUUAGGAAAUCAUUUUGGGAUUUUUGGAAAGCUUUUGGAAUCUCAUAAGGUGUGAAUAUUGGUUCUUUGAAACUUUUUUCGGUUAUCUCUUUUACUGGUUCUCUCUUGAUUGGUUGACUUUCUACCAAAUUUUUAAUAUAAUCUAAUUGUUUUCCUAUUGUAUGAAGAUUAAUAUUUGUAUAAUUGUUUUGUUCUACUAUCAUUUUGAUAUCCUUUGAUGAGAUUUGUUCUUCUGCAUCGGGAGCUCUCAUUCUUAAAGGGUUUUCUUUUAUUCCAGUAUUCUUAUGAAGAUAUUGAACCUCCAUUAAAGGGGGAUGUCGAGAUUCAACUUCUCCUUUAUUAGUUUGCCAGCUAGUAUUAUAUCUUAUUGUAUUAACAGAUCCUAAAUAAUAUUCUUCAAACCAUUCAAAGAAUUUUAUAUGGACUUUAUGAGUAUUCAUAAAUCUAUAAUAUUCUUGAAGAAUAUUUUCUUUUUUAUCAUUAUAAUUUUUAAAGUAAUCUUCUCUUUUUUGCUUAUUUUUGUUGGAAUAGAAGUGCUUUCUACACCAUUAUUUAUUUAUUUCAAACAAUUUUUCUAAAACAAAUAUUUCUGAAUUUUCUCUUUGUCUUGCAUUAUUAGUCAUUGAUGAAUAAGUUGGUGACAUGUUAGGUGAAUUUUGGGGACUCUCUUCUUGUCUGGCAUAGAUAGGUUGAGCUAUAUUUGAGGAAUUAUCUAUUCCUUGUAAAUUGGUCCUAAAUGUUGUUGGGAUAGAAGAGACAGAGGCUCUGGCUGUCCUAAAAUCUACUGUUUGUGUUUCUGGAUUUGACUCUUCUUCUAUAUUUAACCUCCUAAAAGCUGUGCUGGUACUUUCUAUUUCGAAGGAGUGUCUUGGAGGCAUUCUUUGUGGCCUAUUGAAUUUUAAUUCAACUGUGCCAUCUUGGUGCUGAGAAAUUUCACUUAAUGAAGUGUUUCUUAUGGGGUUGGUGCCACAGGGUCUGUAGCACCUUCAAGUUUCCACUUAUCAGGAAGGUUUAUCUCAUGCCAUUGUAUUGUUUUGGGGAUUGAAGUAUGAGAUCUUGUGGUGUCUGUCUCUAUUAAGAGGGUUUCUCCUUUUGGGUUUUGGAGUAAAGCCUUGGUAUUAACUACAGAAUACAUGGCUUUGAAAUGGAGUCUAUAAACCAAAGUUAACACUUCUGUACCUGGAAGCAUUUUGUAGUUAUGGGUAUGUAUUUGAAGUGUUAAAGAUUGUAAAAUGUUUUUAUCAGUCAAAGAAACCAUAAAAUUUAGAUAACAAUUAAAAUGUAUUGGGCCAGUACAUAGGCUUGUUUCUAUAGUUCCUAAUAAUGAGUCAUUAAACAUGAUGUGUCUUUGGUCUCUUAAGACUACUAAUAUUGAGGUAUUUUUAGUGGCUUCAACACUAAGAGGUUUGACUCCAACCUGGACUAAUCCAAAAUGGAUGUAUUUGUAUCUUUGUUCUUUGAGUUUAUUAAUGACGACUUUAUCUAAUAAUUGGAUUGUUUCAUAUUCUUUUUGAAUAGGUAAACUCAUUUCUUUUGUUUUUAUAACAUAACUGCAAAAAGCAUUUAAAUUUUCAAAAAUUGUUUUUUUGUAAACUUGGUUUGUUGGAACUCUUGGAAGAGUCCAAUUAUCAAAUCUUUGAGGAAUAUUUUCAUAAUGUUCUUCUUGUUCAUUAACAGUAUUGUUUGAGGUUUGGUCAGAUUCUUGGGAUUGAUUAGAAACAAAGCUAGCAGAAGAAUUGGUUCUUCUAAGGAAAGGAAACAUUCUUUGUUUUCGUAUUUCCUACAGGGGGUUCUACUAUCUGAAUCUCUGAAUUAAUUAAGUUGCCUACGGGGAUACUUAGUCCUUGACACGCCUAACCCAUGGCUAACUGGACACUGUAUCAAUUCUCAGCAAAAUAAUAAUACGAUAAUAAAGAUAGUUAAACCAGAACUCAGAAAUAACGAAAACAAAUUGAAUAUUUUCUUAAACUUAAGAAUACCUGCUCCUCCUUGGCUCUGAUACCAGGAAGUCCCGAGGAUCUGAGGACCGGAUUGGUAAUGAUAUAUUUUUAAGAAAAUAGUUUAAGUUUGAAAACUUAAUUUUGUAAAUGCAAUUUGAGAAAAUAUUAUUUAAUUUGAAAUUUUGGAAACUUAAAAUGAAACUUUGUUAAUGCGAAAGUUUUGAAAAACUUUGAGAAACUUUUGGGAGAAACAACUCAAAUGGGUAAAAUCGAGUUCUGCCUUCCAUUCACAAACUGAUAGCCUUUUAUAGAGGGCUAUUCUCUCCUUACAUCAUCUAAAUCGUUUAAUCAUUACAUUUGAAACUUUUGAAAAUAAAUUUUCAGAGAAUAUAUUCUCUGGUUACAAAAUACAAAUUACUUAACUAUUCACUUGUCUUUUCUUGCAGGGAAUAUUUCCCGUUCACGCAUUAUUCUGUUGCAGGGAAUCUUUCCUGUUCACAUCAUUUCUUGCAGGGAAUCUCUCCUGUUCACGCAUUAUUUUGUUGCAGGGAAUCUCUCCUGUUCACACAUUAUUUUGUUGCAGGGAAUCUUUCCUGUUCACAUCAUUUCUUGCAGGGAAUCUCUCCUGUUCACGGAUUAUUUUGUUGCAGGGAAUCUCUCCUGUUCACAUCAUUUCUUGCAGGGAAUCUCUCUUGUUCAUGUAUUAUUUCUUUUUGGACCUGGUGAUGGUUACCGAAGUGGUAUCAUCUGCAAGAUCCACCGUUUUGAUUGAGGAUGCCGGAGAUUCAUCUUCAGAUUCGGAGUCCAAUGAGCUGAGCAUUUCAGCCAUGAGUUUUUUGUAUUCUUUUUUGGUCUUGGCUUGAGCUAACAUUGCACUGGCUGUUGACUUUGCUUGAAGAAAUUUUACUGUGGUUUGAUCCGGGGCUGCAGACUUACAUAAUCUUGGAUUCUUGUUGAAAAAAUUAUCCAAAUAUUUUGAAUCAUAUUUCUCAUCAUUAAAUUUGUCCCACCAUUUAGUCCUGUAAUUGCGAACUAAUAAUGGAAUUCCAAUGUAUUGGUCUUGCUCAUAAGAAUAAUUCCAUGAGACAAUCCAGGAAAUGCAUAGUUUUGAGAAAAAAUCGAUUGUCCUGUAAAUGUGUUUUUGAUCUGGUUCAGGAUGAAAUUUGUCAAAGAAUUUGGGCCAUAAGUUUUGAAUUUUUUCUGGUAGUAUCUUAAAGGAUGAUGGUCCAUACCAAUUCCAUCACUCUUGGAACCAGUUUGGGAAUUUGAAUUGGGUGCCAUAUUUGAAAUAUAUGAGCCACGAAUGUCUCAUGUGUUGGUUGUUCAUUAAAAAGGCAUUGUACCAUGCCAUUUGGUAAUCCCAAUAUGUAAAAUAUGGGUAAUGGUCUAUUUUGGUGGUAAAUUUGGCUGGGAAUUUCUUUGAAGCAUUUGGGUUUUCACUCCAAUCUCUUGGUCGGAGAAUUUUUAAUAUUUGGGCUGUUGAAUGGGUAAUAAAAUUUGGAUCUUUUGGAUCUGUGUAAUGUUUGAACAAAACAGAUCCAGUUUGGACCAGUAUAUUUUCAUAAUACUGUUGGGGUUUUUGAGAAUCCAAUGGUUUGAAAUGCCAUCCAUUGAAAAGUUCUUUUGCCAGUAUAUGUGGAGGUUUUUCUGAAAAUUCUUCCUCCAUAACAAGAAUUUUUUCAAAAUAUUUGUUUGGAAGAUAUUGUGAAGAUUUUUGUGUAGCAGUUUGUGAAGAUACCGCUAUCUCUUUUGGAAAAACCUCUUGGAGAGAAGUCUCUUUUAAAACAUUUUUAAGAGAUUUUGGUUUGUGUAAAACAAUCUCUUUAUUUUUUGAAACCUUUGCUGCUUCAGCAGCAAUUUGUUUGAGAGGAGUUUCCUCUUUCAUUUGCGAAAAGGCCAAUGCUACUUCUGGAGAUUGAGAUAGGGACUCAAUCCAUUUUUUGAUUUGAGAACCAAUCUCAUUUGGAUCUUGUGCAUCUUGAAUUAUUGUAUUUUUGGAGGAUUUUGACGAUGAUGAUGAUUUCUCAUCUUCUUCUUGGCAAAUUUCAUACCAUGUUUUAAUUGGUUUCGAUGUGAUUUGGGUUUAUGAUGAUUCUUCUAUUUUCCCUUUUCCUUUGUCUCGGAGUUUGGGGGGCAUUUUUGAAGAAACUCUCUGGUGAGAAAAUCAGGCAAAGAAUUAGUUUCUCCUUUGAUGUAUUCAAUAUCAAAAUCAAAUAUGCUCAAAAUUGCCUGCCAUCUUGCAAAAAUCUGUUUUGAGGCAAUGUUUUGAACAUCUUUUUGUAAAACUUCUUUUGCUGAUUUGCAAUCGAUUCGCAAAAGGAAUUUUUGAUUUAAUAAAUCACUUUGGAAUUUUGUAAUGCAUAAAACAAUUGAUAAAAUUUCUUUUUUAAUAGUACUAUAAUUUUGCUGAGUAGGAUUCCAGUGUCUGGAAGUAAACUGGACUACUUGCUCUUUUCCUCCUUUAACUUGUUUUAGGAUCCCACCAUACCCUAUUUCAGAAGCAUCUGUUUCAACUAUCUUGGGGGCAUUUGGAUCAGCUAAAUAUAAACAAGGAAGCUUAGUGAUUUGUUUUUUGAUUUGGGUGAUAAUAUUGGUAUGGUUUUUUGUCCAAGGUUGUGGAUUCUUUUUGAGUCUAUCAUAUAAUGGUUUACAUAAUUUGCUAAGACCUGGAUAAAAGUCUAUAACAUAAUUGAGGCUUCCUAAGAACCUUUGUAAUUGGACUUUAUCAAGAAUUUGGUCUGGGAAUUUGCUAGCAAAUUCUAUAGAUCGUUCUAUUAGGGUAAUGGUUCCUUGGGUAAUGUAAUGACCUAAAAACCUUACUUUGGUUUGGAAUAAACUUAUUUUGGAUUUAGAAACUACUAAACCAUUAUUUCUUAUGACUUUUAUAAAGAUUGAUAUAUGUUUAAAGUAUUUUUCUAAGUUUUCUGAAAAUACUAAUACAUCAUCGAUGUAUACUAUUGUGAAUUGAGAAUAUUGGUAAAAAAUAUCAUUCAUUAUUCUUUGGAACUCAGAUGGAGCAUUUUUUAACCCAAAAGGCAUUACAUUCCAUUCAUAUUGUCCAAAUGGUACAGUAAAUGUUGUUUUAUAUCUUUCUUCUUCUUUUAUUUGGAUUUGCCAAAAUCCGGAUUUCAUAUCAAAUUUUGAGAAAAUAUUUGCAUUACAAAGUUUUUGUAGCAAAUCUUUCUUAUUUGGUAUUGGGUAUCUAAUCCAUUUUAAGGCUUGAUUGAGAGGUUUGUAAUUAAUUACUAAUCUUGGCGUUCCUCUUUCAAGUUCUGCAUUUUUUAUUACAUAAAAUGCUGAACAACUCCAAGGGGAACUGCUCUUUCUAAUUAAUUUUUUAUUAAGAAGGUCUUGUAUUUCUUUUCUACAAAAUUCUUCCAUUUCUUUGUUCAUUUGUAUUGGUCUUGUUUUUGUGGGUAUUUGUCUUUCAUCAAAAUCGUUUUCGUAUGGUAAUGUUACUUCAUGUUUCUUUCUAUUCCAAAAGGCAUUAGGAAUGUCAGAGCAAAUUGUUGAUUCUAUUUCCUUUUUGAUUUGAUCUAUUCUUUUUUGUAUUUCUCUUUUUCUUAAUUGUUCAUUUAAUUUUUUAAAACAUAUUUCUUCUUUUAGGAAAGAGAUUUGCUGCUUCUGUUUGUAAUUAAUUAAAUUAUUAAUUUGUCCAUUAUGAAUGGAUAAAGAUUUUAAUAGGUUGAGGUUUCUUAUUUUCGGUUUUUCUACAAAAGGAAAUUCUACCUUAGUGUUUAAAACUUUAGUGGAGAUAGAAUUAUUUGUUACUUUAUAAGGUUUGAGUAAGGAUAUGAAUGGGGUUCCUAAUAUGACAUCUUGGGUAAUAUCUUUUACUAUUAAAAAACAUGUUUGAUAUUUUAUACCUUUGUUGGAUAUUUCUGCAUUGGGAAUUUUGUAAGUAAUUUUUAAUUUUUUACCAUUUGCAGCCUUAAGAGAUUCUGAUGUUUUAUUAUAAUAUUUUGUUGGAAUUAUUCCUUCUCUAAUGCAGUUUUGGUCUGUUCCUGUAUCAAAAAGGGCUAUUGUUUCUAAUUGAAAUUCAUUAUUUAUGACAAUAUUUAUUUUUAUUAAAUAUCUUUGAAUAGAUACUUCAGUUAGAACCAUAAUAUAUUCUUGUGUAUUUUCUUCAGGUUCAGGUUCAGUUUCUGAUGAACUUUUUUCUGAGGUUUCGUCUUUUAAGGAUCUAAUUUGUUCCUUCAUUUCUUGUUGUUCUAUUUUAAGCUGAGAAAGUUCUGAUUUAAUCUGUUUUAUUUCCAACUGUAAUUCAGAGUUUGUAAUUUGUCUUGGUUUUAUUUUUUCAUAUUUAUUAAAUAUUAUAUCUUGUAUAUUAUACAUUUGUGAUUGACUAGAAAUGAUUUCUUUUUCUUUUUCUGGUUUAUCUUUUAAUGGGGAUUUUAAUUUCAAAAGGUAUUCUCUUUUAAGCUCUAGGUCUUGAAUUUUAUCAAUAACUUCUAUCAUAAAUUCUUGAUCUUUAGUUAGCAUAUUAAUUGAAGGUUCAUUCUCAUCUUCAGAAGACUGGGAUGUUGUAUGUAAUUCGUCUAUUUGUAAUUCAUCUGUUUCAGUAGAUGUAUCAUUUUCAGAAGAAGUUGUUUCUAAUAGGAUUUCAUUUAAUUUUUGUUCUAUCUCUUCUUCUAAAUUUAAGUUAUUGAUUUUUCUUUUGAUUUUACAAUAUUUUGAGAUAUGUCCUAAUUUUCCACAUCUAUAACAUUUUAUUGUUUUGUCAAUUUUGUUUUCUGUUUUUUGUUGUUUCUUCCCUUUUCUGUUUUUUUUAUAUUUAGGUUUUUUAUAAUAUUCUGAAAUAUUCUUUUUCCUAUUUUUUGGCUUUUCAGGGCAACAUGUUUUUGAAGAAGAAGGCUCAUUCCUGAUGUCAAAUUGGUGGCAGAAUGAUCCUAAUUCCUUUCUACAUUGAUAUCUUUCUUUCUUGAGUUUUUUUUGUAAUUUUAAAUCUUGGCAAAUUUUUAAUCUUUCUUUUUGGGUGAAACUAAUUAGUUCACCAUAUGUAAGCUUUUCAUAUGGAAUAAUACCUUUGUAAUUUUCUCUUAUUUAAUUCCUAACUUUUUCUCCUAAUAAUGUGGGAAGUCCUGCUAGAAAUUUUUCUUUCCAAAAUAGUUGCUGGAUUUACUCGUCAAUUAAAAGGAUGGUGAGAUCAUGCACUGACUAAAACCCAACAGGAAGAAAUUUUAAAAGCUUAAAUUUUUAUAAAAUUUUUAAAUUAUAUAUUAUAUAUUUUUAAUAAUUUUAGAGUUUUUUUAAAGAUUAUUUUGAAAUUUUUAAAAAGGAUUAAUUUUUUCAUUUUUGAAAUUGAUGGCCACCCAAAGGCAAGGAGUAAUUAUUGUUUACUUUUUUUUAAUUUUUUCAAAAAUUUGAUUAAUUCAAAAUUUAAAAAUGUUUUUGAAUUUUUUUAAACCGAAACAAGUUUUUUUCGCCCCUAUUCAUUGGUGUCAAUUUUAGCCCAAACCUGCUUGAAAGUUUCUGUUUAUUAUUUAAAAUAAUAUGGUAAAUUCUAAGUUUAAUCACUUAUAUUUGCUUAGAAUUACAUUUUGAUCAUUGAACUUUUAAGAAUUGUUAUAUAAUCAUUGAUAUUAUCAAUUUGUUAUAUUAUAAUCACUGAGUCAUUAACUUUUGUUAACGGUGCGAUGACAAAUUGAAUAUCAUCAUUUCUAGCGAAAAAUUUGGAUCAAAUUAUAUAACUAUUCCUUGUAUUUUUUUUUCAAGCAAUUUAACCAAAAUUGAUAUUGGAAGAAUGAAGAUGUCAUGGACUACAAUGAUUUGUGUUGAUGAAAAAGGAUGUUGUAGGCGACUUUUAAUGAAACUAGUUUUUACUUAUGCUCCGCCUUGGGUUAAAUAGUUCAAUUUAAAGGUUACACUAUGUUUCAAGUUUCUAUCUCUAUAUAUUAGGAAUUUGGUUCCUAUAUUUUUAUGUUUGAGAAUUUAGUCCUUCUAUUUUUCGAAUUUAAAAAUUCAAGUUCAUUUGUUAACACUGUUAAAAUUCUUUUAUUAAUUUAUUGGUGUGGCAUUCUAAAAUUUAAAAAGUACUCACUUAAUAAUCAAGUGAAAAAAUGGCAUUAUAAUGGACUUGAUUAACAAAGAAUUCUAAUAAUGUUCACAAUACUUAAAAUUUAUAUCAACAUUUUAAUUAAAAUAAAAUAUUUAGAUUAACUAAUUGCACUAUAAAUGUUGAGGUACCAAAUUCUAUAAAAAAAAUUAAAGUAUAAAGAUUAAAUCUCAAAUUUGAGUAUAGUAUAAGGAUUAAAAUAAAAAUUUGACCUUUUAUAUAAUCUUAAAAAAAAGGAAAUCAUUAUAGAAAAAAAAAAACCAAACAAACAAAGGCCUUCCUUUCAUAUAUUACAUUUGUUGGACUGAUCCAUGCCAUAACCCUUGGGUAAUUAGGUUUUUUCCAGAGAGAUUAUCUCAUGGAAUGCGCAAAAUGGAAGCUUUCAGGACAUUUUUAUCGGCAACUAAAGAAUGGAAUAUAAGGCAAAUCAAAACACAUUGGGAAUUGGUAGUGUCUUACAAUGCAAUUGGUUCAUGUCAACAUAUACAUGGAAAAGUAUUAAGUGGAAUUUUUAAAUUUCAUAAGUAGGAUUAGAGAAUUAAAGAAAAUCUGGUGAAGGCCUACGUUAUUGUUUAACCAGUCAUGGGGAGGGUAAGAUUAAUUCAAUUGACUCUCAAUUAAUCUCGUUACACGAACCAACUUGAAUAGUGCUCAUGCAAACUGAGUAUACUAUACUUUGGUGGUGACUCGUGUAUGGCGUGGUCUUAAAGACAGUAAAGUCUCCUACAACUUUUUCAUACACUUGAUAGGCUUUUCAUACUCAGCCAAAACUAUGCGGUGUACUCUUCCUUCGCUUGAAGAUAUACUAUAAAUAAAUCCUUAGAUACUGCCAACGGGUGGAUACUUUAACGCUAGUAUUGCACCAAUACUCUAACUCGCUAGAAAGUCAGCAGGGUGGCGGAUUAUACUACCCUAGUGCGCCAAAACAGUUUACUUACAUACUUUACUCACUUUUUUGGAUAUGUCGCUUUCGGGGUGUGAUAAAACCACCAUUAAUGGCUCAAUAACCAUAACAUAACAAAUCGAUAAUGUUAGUGAUCAUUUAGUAAUUUUAAAAAAAUGAUAACUAAAAUGUAAUUUUGAGCAAAUAUAAGAGACUAAACUUAUAGUUUACUCAAAAUAAUGUUAAAAUGUUAAAUAUAUUUUAAAAGAUCACAAAUAUAAGCAAUCUAAUUACAAUCAAUAUUAUAAAUUACAAUUUAAUUAAUAAUUAAAAUAUAUCUAAACUUAACACACAUGAUAAGACUCGAACCAUAAUAAAUCACGGAGAAGAAAAACUCACACGUAGUUUACUAAAUUAUGUCACAUGAGUCAAAUAAUUCAUAUAAAAUAUAUAUUUACAAAAGAUUUAGUCUUUAAUUAAUUUAUACAUUUGAGUGGUAAAGAAUUAUGUAAUUAUUUAUCAAUUUUUGGUUCAAACUUUAGACAUUUGAUUUAUUUUUAGUUGUUUUAUUUAGAGAUGAUGUAUAAAAAAGUGAAAAGUAAAAAUUAUUAUAAUAUUAUUUAGGCUUAAUGACAAAUUUGGCCACUAAUGUUUACAUAUUUUAUCAAAAUGAUCUUAAUUGUAUUUUUAAGCCUUUUUUGGCCAUUAACCUUUGUUUUUUUUUUCAAAUUGCUUUUUCUAACAGAUUUGAUGAAAGUUCCAUUAAAAAAAUUAACAGGGAUGAUGUGGAAUAUUUUUAAUGAGAUAUAAUUUAUUACUUAAGUAACCCAAUAAGAUAAUUACAUGUGAAAAAUAAUAAAAUAAAUAAAUCAUACAUGAAAUUAAAAAAAAAUCUUAAUUUAAAGAAAAUAAAUGUAACUAUCUAAAAUAAAUUUCAAAAUGAAAGCAUACCUUUGUUUACCUAGAGGUUUCAAAAAGAUAAUUAAUAGAUUAAACCAAAAAUGCUAAAUGUGUGCAUUCAUUUAUUUUCUUUGUAUUAAGACUUAUUUUUUUUAACUUCAUGAAUUAUUUAUUUAAUUAUUUCCACAUGUAAUUAUUUUAUUGCGUUAUCUAAAUAAUAAAUUACAUCUCAUUAAAACAUCCCACAUAUGAAAUUCGAUAUCAUCCCGUUAACUUUUUUAACGUACUUUCAUCAAAUUUGUUAAAAAAGCUAUUUGAGAAAAAAAAAUAAAGGUUAAUGGCAAAAAAAGGCUCAAAAAUACAACUAGGACCAUUUUGACAAAAUGUGUAAAUGUUAGCGGCUAAAUUUGUCAUUAAGCCUAUUAUUUAUUACUUUUAAAAAAUUUAGUAUUUUCUCUAAUCAAAUUGAUAUCGAAUUGACUCGUGAUAUCAAUUUAGUCAGCCACAUUAUAUAUAAGAUUGAUUAAUAUAUAUAAUAAGCCUUUAACUGAGUUAGUGUCACAGUCAACUGAGUACCAUUUCUAUUGAGAAAUUACUAAAAUAUAGAUAAUUUUAUCUUUUUAUAUUUUAUAAAUAAAUAAAAAUUCAAUCAUAGUAAAAUUCGAAUCAUGACAAAAUGAAUUUUAAAUAUUUAACUUUAUCAUUUCAAUUAAAGUAUUAUUUAAUCUUGUAUGAACUUUUAAUAAAUAUAUUUGUUACAUAAUAUUUUCGCUCACUGAGUGUGCUAUAAUCUAGUAUAUAUAAUUUAUAUUAAUAUUGAGAUAUAUUUAUAUUUUAUUAUUAAUAUGAAUUUGGACAAUAAAAAAUUUCUAAGGUAAGCUAUUCAAAAUGUUUUAUUUAAGUCACUGAACUAUUAGAAAGUUUUUAUUUAAAGUCCCGCUAGCAAGCUCCAAGUAACGCUUUGGCGAUCGAUACAAUAGAUUAAUAAUACCCAUUGACGAGUAGGAGAACAUACCUUAGGUCUAAGUCGAUUUGACGAUAAGUGUCGGAGAUCGAAUAAGAAAAUUGCUUAAAAUUUGGUUCGUAGAUUUGUGAUGUUUAAAAUUAUUUUAUAAAAGAAAAUCGAGUUGUAGAAGAGAAAGGAGACGAGAACUUUUAAUUGAUACGCGAAUAACUAAUGUCAUAUAACAUCAAUUUUAAUAAUUUAACGACUAAACAAAAAUUUCCGUGAUAUUUUAUAAAUUUUUAAAAUUGAAUAAACAAAAAUAAAGUUGCUAAUGGGUAUAGUUUAUCCAAAAUGUUAAUAAUAAUUUGUAUUGUAGAGAGAGAAAAAAACAAACAAAAAGAAUGGAUGAAACCAACGGUGAGAUGAUGCGUGCGGGCCCAAAAUAGAAGACAAAUUAAUUCCUCGUGUAAGUGAACCAAGUUCAAACGAAAGAUCUGCUGUUUUUAUUAGGAAUUUCGAUGUUGACGAGGGUUUUUGCUGCUGCGCUCUCUCUCUCUCUCUCUUUCUUUCUACUUGCCCAUUCCCAUCUUAUCAUUUCAAACCCCCAUUUAACUGUCUAGUUUUUUCCCAUUUCAGGUUAGGCUCUUUUUGCCUACCUUAUUUUUCUCCUUUUAUUUUCUUGGGUUUUCUGUUUGGUUGCUGAGAAACAUCUUAAUGGCAUUGAUUCUGUUGCUGGAUUAUUUCUACAAAAAAUAGAAAAAGAACUUUUCACUUCAAAUUUAGGCCAAAAGCUCGGUUGCAUAUGCAUCUCGUUUGCGGAAUUCUGAUUUUCCUUGUUUCUUACUAUUUCUCUGGAAUCAAACAGUUCAAAAGUUUUGUUCUUCUUUUCAAUUCGUUGAAAAGUAGAUCAUUUUAAAGGUAAUCGAUGUUCUGAUUGAUGGGUGUUGGUUAUUUUGGUAUAAUGAUUGAUGGGUUUGCUUUCGUUCGACUAAAUGUAUAGUUACCUCCUCCAAGUUAGAUGAUUAGUAUUAUAAUUAUCAAGCCUAGUUUAUUUGCAUGGCCAUCUUGAACACAUUAAUGUUAAAGCUUUUUUCUUUUCUUAACGUAAUAUGUAUUCUGAUUGAUUGACAUUGGUUAUUCAGUGAUAAUGAUUAGUUGGUUCUUUUUGUUUGAUGAAAAAAAUUGUAGAUUUUUAUCAGUGAGAUACAAUGGGGAAUUCUUCUUCAAUGCUAACUCAAUAUGAUAUUGAAGAAGUUCAAGAAUACUGCCAGAAUUUAUGUAGGUUGUCUAUAUGCUUGAUUUCCCCUACUGGUUCUUCCAUUUAGUUGUUUUGUUAUCAAAAUUUUGAUGUGUUCUUGGUUGUUGGAGUACAGUCUCUCAGCAGGAAAUUGUUUCAUUGUACCAAAGGUUUUGCCAGUUAGAUCGAAAUGCAAAGGGAUUCAUAUCUGCUGAUGAGUUUCUAUCAGUUCCGGAGUUUGCAAUGAAUCCGCUCUCUCAGGUAGUAGUCUUUCGAGUGUAUGUUAUUGGAGUAGUUAAUUAGAUUCUGGUAUGUAUAUAUAAAUUUGUGGUCCAACUCCAAUGAUAGUCUUUGCGUGCUGUUUUAGAGAUUUAUGUAAAUUUUCGAGUUUGUUUCGUUGGAAUUGUUGCAUUUGCAGAGACUGCUUAAGAUGGUGGAUGGUUUGAACUUUAAGGACUUUGUCGCCUUCUUGUCAGCGUUUAGUGCUAAAGCAAGUGUACAGCAGAAAGUUAAACGUGAGUUCUCACCGACUUUUCUGUAGAGUCAUUGACCUUACUGGUUUAGGUAUAAUCUGAUUUCAGUUCAACGGUCACAAGUAAAAGCAUUUAGAUGAUCACCUUUCGGGUGCCUUAGUAUUGCAACUUGCACAUUGAAGUUGAAAAAUGUUUCAAAAUUAGUUUUAUGUUAUUAAUUUUCUCUCUGUUUCAGUUAUCUUCAAGGUGUAUGAUUCUGACGGCAAUGGAAAGGUGUCUUUCAAUGACAUGCUAGAAGUUUUACGUGAUUUAUCUGGUUCAUUUAUUUCCGAUGUCCAAAGAGAGGUAAAAUUAUUUCUGCCUUUGCAUUUUUUUUUCUUUUUUCUCAUGCAAUUGAAAAGAAAUAUGUAUAUAUAUGUAUAUAUUCACCUGCUUGAUUUGCUGAUGUUGGUCUAGUUUAUGUUCCUUGCUAAAUCUCUCAUGGUAAUUACUGAACAUUUUUUUGAUCGAAGAUGUUUCAAGUAGGGUGUUUGGUGCUGAAAAGAAUGCAUUGGACUAAGUGGCUAGUAGCUAAUGGCGUGAUUUAGUCAUUGCAUCAUAGGACACUGUUUGACUGGUGCCAUUGACUACAGCGUUCUUAAGAUUUUCUUUAAAUUACAGAAUAAGAUUUUCAGAGUUCAACAUCAUUCUGUAAUUUAUUUAAGUAAAUAUUUCCAUUUCGUUUUAGCCUCCAAAUUUUGGUUAUAACUUACUUUUAACAAGAUAAGACUUUUAUAAUUUAAGGAUAGCAUCAUGUAAGAUUAAUUACGAGUGACAUAUGAUAACAUCUUGCUCUUUUGUUCUUUGUUUUUGCAGCAAGUCUUGACCCAACUUUUAAAAGAAGCGGGUUACUCAAAGGACUCUUACCUAACAUUGGAUGACUUCAAUAAGGUGAUUUCCAUUCUAUUUUAUAUUUAUUAUAGUUAUUCAAUUUUCUGUUUUCUGCAAAACAGUUUAAUUUAUUAGGCUGGUAAAAGAAAUUAGUGAUGGGGCGAGGUCAAUAUGAUUAAAGCUGGAGAUCAAUAUAGUCAAUUCAUGUUGGAAAUGUAGAUUAUAAUAAGGAGAGAUUGAUGCAUCUGAAUGUGACACUCACAUUCAAGUCUGAGUAACAUAAACAAUUAGUUAACUAAUAUCAUCAGGAUUAUAUUGCUUUGACACCUGUGGCCAACACAUGUUUGUUCGGACACGGGUAUGAGGGUGUGAUUCUCCAAAUAUAUGGAA
Molecule: long non-coding RNA, 60098 nt
Filed under: Gossypium barbadense (sea-island cotton)
Lineage: Eukaryota; Viridiplantae; Streptophyta; Magnoliopsida; Malvales; Malvaceae
Description: long non-coding RNA (GBAR_LNC019296)
Rfam family: tRNA (bases 1555-1625)
Source: RNAcentral